UUUUAUCAUCAUCAUUGCUCUUGGCGAAAUCACCAUGAAUGUUGCUUGCUCCUUUUGCAUUUGGAUUUUUAAAUGAAGGACCAACAGUUCUUAUGGGGAUUGAUUUUUUCGAAAUAUAAUCUAUGAAUUCAUGCUCUAGUUCUUCAUAGGUAUCCACUAAUACACAAAACACUUUAGAUAAGUCCUUAAACUCUUCUAAGACAAGUUUACCUAGGAAUGGAAAUGAACAAAAAGGAUGCACAAGAUCUGAGAUUUCAUUGUAUUUAAGAACUCUAGAAGGGAUGAGUUGAACAUCAAUAUAAGGUUCUUCAUUUGUAGGGAAAGGUGUUAAUUUGUGGACAUAGUUAUAGUAAGUGGUGAAAACAGCAGCGGAAUUAGUCCAUGAUAAAACAGAAGGAAUAUUGUGUUCAUUAGCAACAUCACAAACCCAUGGAAAAAAAUAAUUGUUUAUGAUACAUGAAAAUGGUUUGUUUAAAUCAGCAUGAUUCUUGAUCAUUUGAGAAAUAGAGGGUCUACCAGCAACCUCAAUUUCAGCGGAGUGCUGAAGAGCUCUGAAGGCUGAACGAUCACCGUCUGGUAAACCAUCAUCAAAGAACUCGAAAGCGAAAGUACCAUCACCAAUUGGAGUUGCUAAUUUGUCAAUGAUGUUGUUAGCAGCUCGCAUGUUUUUGCCAGCCGUCUCUGUUGUGGUGAAGAUAACAGUGGCACCCUUUGCAGCAAGAUACUUUCCUAGUCCAACAAGAUGGUUUAUGUGUCCUUGUGCUGGAAAAGAGACAAGGAGAAGCUUAAUGGGAUCUUCGUAUGUCAUUUUUCUUUUUAUUAUUUAUUGAGUGAUUUUCUUCUUCAAAGUUGGAGAUACCUAUAGCAAGAGAAUACUUGCUCUCUUAUAUUGGAAGAAAGACUUCCUCUUCCCUUGUGUCACAGCACAGGUUUGACAACAUUCUAAUAAAUUAAUAAUAAUAUUUUGUCUUUGUCAUUUGUUUUGGCAAAUUGUAUUUUUUCCUUGUCAUAUUUAAUGCAAAAACGAUAAUGAAAUUAAUUAUAUUUGUGGACUACAUUUUACCACACUUCAUCUCCCAUCUGGCAGUGGUGGCUAUAACCAUCUGGUAGCUAGAAAGUGUGGUAGUCCGUAGGAGUUAAGAGAAAAUAAUAAACUGCAUUUAGUAUUCUCUCAAAAAAAAAAAAACUGCAUUUAGUAAUAAGGGUCACGUUAAAUAUCUAUUGAAAAAAAAAAUUAUUUUCAAUUUAUUGAAAAAUAAAUUUACACUAGUUUAAUACUCUGAUUUCUACAUUUGAUAUUGUAAUAAGGGUCACGUUAAAUAGCCCCUAACAGCACUUGUGAUCGGCAGUAGCAUUUAUAGUCUGAAAAUGAUAUCCUGCAUUUAAUUAGUAUUAAUAGCCCUUACUUGUGAUCAGCAGUAGCAUUUAUAGUCUGAACUUCGACCAUGCUCUAAAAUAAAUUAGCCAAAAAAUAGUUUGUUUUCGAGUGAGAGAAAAGAAGAGGACAAAAAAUACUCCCUAGUCUCUAGAAAUUGUUAGUGAACAAGAGAAAGAGUUAAGCCACCAAAAUUAAAGUUAAAUUAUCGUAUUUUUCCUUCAUCCACCAAUAGAAUAGUAAUUUAAGUACUUGACUUUAUCCAAUUGAUGUGGUUAAAUAUUCUAUUAUUAUGUUCUUUCUAAAUUAACCAAACACAUCAAAACCAAAUUAUAUAUAUAUAUAUAUAUAUAUAUAUAUAUAUAUAUAUAAAAGAUCGUCAAACUUUUGAAUCGUCUGUUACAAGACCAAACUGCAUAAAAUGGUCUGAAAUAUUUGAAGGAUCAAUUGAAAGAGAAACCAAUCUAAUGUCGAACGUGCAUCCAAUGUCGAACGUGAUGCCAAAUAUUGUCGAAGAAAUUACAAUUUAAAAAUAAGUGAUUAGCCAAUUUUAUAGCACCACACCCACUCACACAAAGCCGAGAGUCUUGAUUAAAGAUGUCUCACUUGCAUAAAUUGUCCUCGGUAGGAAGUUGAUUUCUGAGAAGAUGCCAAACAAACACAAAUAAUUUCAAAGGAAUGUCCUUAUUAUGCCAAAGAAGAUCCAAAAUGGGUAAAUGAAAAUGAGGAACAAAAUUAACUAGCAAUUAAUGUGUACCACUGACAUAGUAACAAACAAUAAGAUCGUUUCCAUGGCCACUUAUCACCACCGUUAACUUGUAAAGUAACAUUGUUAAGCAAAGUCCUACACUCCGUACCAAUUCCUCCUCCCACGCAAAUAAUGACGCCUCUAAUUCAAAGCCUCUCCUCCCUCUUCCCACCCCAAAUAAAACAUAGCUGUCACUGAUGCCCACUGAUUCACAGAUAACUCAAACAACCUCCUUAAGCGCUCCUUGAGAGGAAUAUCCCUAAUCCAAUGAUUAGACCAAAAAUAAGUAUCAACACCAUCACCCACCACCUUUCUUAAAUUCUCUUCAAAUCAACUUCCUUCUCCGAACCCAAUGUCAUUACAGAUCCACACCAACUCCUUCCACCAAACAAACUCAUCUCUACCCCUCUCCUUCGAGCGCCAUCACUCCUCACCAUAUUUCACCAUCAACACCGUAUACCACAACCCCCUUUAAUCACCAACAUCCUCCGGCACCACUUUUUUAAAAGAGCGUUCUUAAACCAGGAUAGAGUGCAAACAAUAUAAAUCGUGUAUUAUAAUUGUAUUCUUUUUAUGUCAUUUUUUUUUUUAUAAAACACUUAUUUUAAAUAACUCUUUAGUAUCCGACAUUAGUCUGGUGUAUGAUUUUUGUGAUAAAGUAGAGUUUGUAUAUUAUAAUUAUCUUCAUUUUAUUUAAAAGAUAUAAAAAAAUUUAAAUUUGUCUAAUUAAUUAAUGACAAAUUGUUGUUUUGUUUAUGAAUUGUAUGCCCGACCGGUGUAUGAUUCGGUGACUCUUUUUCAAUAAAACAACGUGAAAGUAGAAGGAUAAAAAAGUUAUAAUCGGUGUGUUAUAAUUUCUUUUUUAUAAUGAAGAUAUUAUAUUCACUAAUUUUUAAUAAUUUUUUAAUGACAUACAUUUGCAUGGUGUACUUUUUUUUUUUUAUAUAAUCAGCAAUAAUUUGUAUAUUACAAUUAUUCUCAUUUUUAUCUAGAAGAUAUUAAAAAAAUUAAAAGUUUGGUGAAAACUAAUUGUCCGUGUAUUGUCAUGUAAUUAACAUUAAAUUGGUUUUUUUUGUUGGAGUGGGGUAUACGCGGAAGCUCUUCCUUUGCCUGUAUCGCCGUUCCUGCACAAGGAGCCACUUGUUGUUUGUAUCGUCGUUGCGGCUUUCUGCGCAACAACCGGCUGCCUCGGUUGCACCCUUCGUUGAACCGGGACUCUGAUACCACUUUUGGUUCAGUGAGGGGAACUUUGGGCGACCGUCCACAUCGAGGCUAGAACAACCGCACAAGUAAGAGAGACACCGCACUCUUACCCAAAACCUUAAGGCAAUGAAUUUACGGGUCUUCUUACUUAUAAGGUGUUCAACCUUUACUAUUUUAUCCGAUGUCGGACAUAGAACUCACACUUGCAAACCAACACUCCCCCUCAAGUGUGAGUCCAUCUAUUCAUCAUGCUACCCCUUCAAGCGGAAGCUCUUAUUUUGCAUGUAUCGUCGUUCCUGCACAAGGAGCCACUUGCUGCUUGUACCGUCGUUGCAGCUUUCUGCACAAUGACCGGCUGCCUCAGUCGCACCCUUCGUCGAACCGGGGCUCUGAUAUCAUUGUUGGAUCAUGAGGGGAGCUAGGGGGACCGUCUGCAAAUAUAUAUUUUUUUAAAAUAACUUUUUUUUGGAUCCAGGGACUAUUUUAAAAUAAAAAUUGCAGGGAUGAAAUUAAAAAAAAAAAUUAUCAGGGACCAAAACCCAAACUCACCAUAUUUACAGGGACCAAAAACAUAUUUUAGCCUUGGGAAUAAUAACCGUCUUGGUUGAUGGUUGUGAGGUUGAAGACAAAAGAAGAAAAUCUAGUGAUUAUGAAGUAUGAUAAGGAUGUGUUCUUGAUUUGAUCUAAUCGUCGAAAACUAAUUUUCCCAUGGUAGAAAAAAAAAGUAGUUUUCCCAUGCUAAACCUCACAUAUGCCAGGGGGAUAGUCAGUUGAUUCAAUAUAUACCAUUUUGAUUUAUUUUUUUUAAAAAUUGAGGUUUCUUUUACUUAGAUUAUUUGCAAUACAAACUAAUAUUAUCAUAUAAUUUAUAAGGAAUUUGAUACUUAUAAAUCCAUAGAUUUAGUAGUAGUCAUCUUCUACCAGCUAUACCCCUAAAAAAAAAUCUACUACCAGCCAUGCUUAAUAAAAAUUAUAUGUAUUCCCAACUAAUAUCUGUGUGAAUAUCUUCUAGAUAUGUAUUUAGUUGAUAUUAAAGUAUUUAUGUAUCGUCGUGUAUAUGAAUCAAUAUAGUCUAUUUUAAUGGAUAAGUGCGCAUUACAAAAAAAAACUUAGAAUUAUAUUGAUUUAUGCUGUUAAUUUCACUGUAUAUUUUUUUUUUGACUUAAUUGUACUUUUGAUCACCAUGUUUGAUUAAGUUUAUGAAAAUAAUCCCCUCUUUUCGUAAUUGAACUUUCUGGUAAUCUGUUUUUACAUUUAUCGCAACUUUGAUUCCAACUCAUGUUUAUUACCCUAAAAAUAGUUAUUUUUUGAUACUAAAAUAUGUGAAUUUUGUCUCAAUAGUGAUACUUUGUUUUUAGAUUCAAUAUUGGGGUAAUAAUUCGCCUUUUAUGGUGCUAAAAAUCCCAAUGUUUAGGGGUUGUUGGGGACCAAAUAGCAAUAAUAGAAUACCUGUUAUGCAGGUUUGACAUCAUUUUUAUAAAUUAAUAAUAUUUUUUCCUUGUCAUUGCUAUUUACUGCAAAAACGGUAAUGAAAUUAAUCAUAUUUGUCAGGUUCCUUACUUAUUUUCGUGGACUCCAUUUUACCACACUUCCCUCUCCCAUGUAUGUGGUAGCUAGAACGUGCGGUAGUCCGCAGGAGUUAGGAGGAGGUACUGCACCCGUGAUCAGUAGUAGCAUUUAUGGUCUGAAAAUGAUAUACCAUCGACUCUAUGCAUGCAAUAAAUAAGAAGGAAAAAAAUAUAUUUUUGAGUAACUUAAAAGAAGGCCCAAGGGUAUUUUUAACUAAAUAUUGAUACUAUUUUUUUUAUUAAUAUUCUUAUAUUAGAUUUUGUAUUUGUAGUUUGCUAAAAAAAUUAAUUUAAAUUUAUUAGUCUAUAUUAAUCUUUUAUAUAUUUAGAUAAGUUACGACAAAUUACAAGCCAAAUUUAAACCUUAAAUUUUUUGAUAAGUUAGAUUUAAGUCUUAUAAAACCUAACUCGAAUUUACCUAUUUCCACCAUUAGCAUCUGAAAAAUAAUAAUUCUUGUAGUAAGUUUUAUCACAAUUUUAUUGUUUUAUUCUUCAAUAAAAAUCGAUGUGAUAAUAUUUUUUAACAUUUAAAAUUGUUAUGGUAUAAAUUGCCUAUUUCAAUUGGGAGAAUUGAAAAUUAGAUUUCACAAGGAUCACCUGACAUACACGUAUAUACCAUGUGUCAUUGAUAUAUGCAUUUAACACAUAAUCCACUCUUUUUAAAGAAAUAAAAUCAAUUUUUUUUUGUUGUGUCGGGAGUACAAUUGUUUUUAUUUUUAUUGUUUUUCAGUUCAAACAAAAAAUUCCUGCAAGUAAUUUUAAUUACUUAAGCAACAACCAACCAGUGGUAAAAAGAUCUGCAUAACACUAUCCUUGUUUUAAUAAAAAACGACAUUUGUAGUUUCAUCAUGAGAAAGCAAGACAGUCACAUGUUGCCGACCCUCCCAUUGAUCGAAUUGGGUAAAUAAUAUUAGUGUGUUGUUUUAUUUAUCGUUAUUGUUUUGAAUAUGGCUGUGAUGUUGCUCCACAUUUAAUUCUAGGACUGUUGUUGUUGUCGUUGUUGACAACUUUGUUCAUUGAUUACUAUUUCUUUUACUUCACACAUCUAAGUUUUAUUGAUGUGAUUAUUUAUUUGAAUUCACAACACAUAUAAUUAUAUAAUAAAAUAUUCUAACAUCACUCACUCCCCUAAAAAGAAUAGUUCGAACAUCAUAUUCAUUUUAACAUAUUGUUUUUGCUAAUUUAGACUGAGCAUGGUCGACGGUACAUACGUUUCUACGGCUCAUUUUCAUUUGUAUCUCCUCACUGACCCUACUCCUUCAGAAUAUCACAUACACAUGUUCUACCUACCAAAUUGGGAGAGGAAAUGUGGCAAAAUGGAGUCCACGGGAAGUAAAGGAACAAGAUCGAUAUGAUUAAUUUCAGUGUGGUUGUUGUUGUAGUAUAAAUGAACAAUACAAUUGUGGUAAUAAUAAUUCUAUGUUACAGAUGUUCUUACGCAUUGGCCAAUCUUUCGAUAUAAUUAUAACAAUAGUAAUAUUGAUACUAUUUUUUAUUAAUAUUCUUAUAUUAGAUUUUGUAUUUGUAGUUUGCUAAAAAAAUUAAUUUAAGUUUAUUAGUCCAUAUUAAUUUUUUUAUAUAUUUAGAUAAGUUACAACAAACUACAAGUAAAAUUUAAACCUUAAAUUUUUUGAUAAGUUAGAUUUAUGUCUUAUAAAACCUAAAUAGUAGAAAAUAAAUAAAUAAUUUUGAUUGGUGUCAAAUCACGUGUAUAACUCUACUCACUUUAUUGAUAGGUAAAUAAGAGUUGUCAUUUCUUUACUUGGUGCCAAAGUGUAUAUUUUUGUUAUACGAUUCACUAUCGAAAAAACGGUAGGGCAUACUUUGAAAAGUUAUUAACAGUUAUCCAAAAUAUAAGGCCAUGCAUAUAAGUUUGAAUCACAACACUUCUCAAUUGUGCAUUCAAAGUGAAUAAACCAAUAUGAUUUCCCAUUCCUUCUCAUUAGCUAUGAUUUUGCUCCUAUUUCUUUUCAUUUUUCAGCUUCUCUCUUACUUAAAGAGAAACAAGAAGUUGCAUGCACGAUUACCACCUCACCCUCCAAGUCCACCAGCAAUACCAAUAAUUGGACAUCUUCAUCUCCUCAAACCACUCAUUCAUCAGGCCUUUCGCCACCUCUCCGAUCAAUAUGGCCCUUUAAUAUCCCUUCGACUUGGCUCCUCUCAAUUUAUCAUUGUUAACACUCCAUCACUCGCCAAAGAGUUUCUCAAGACACAUGAGCUCACUUAUUCUCACCGUAAAAUGAGCAUAGCCAUCAACGUAGUUGCCUAUGAUGAUGCAACUUUUGCUUUCGCUCCUUAUGGGACUUAUUGGAAAUUUAUUAAAAAGCUCAGCACCACUGAGCUCUUGGGUAAUCGAACCAUGGCACAAUUUCUACCGAUUCGAACCCAAGAACUCCAUGAAUUCAUUCAAACUUUGGCAAAUAAGUCUAAGGCAGAAGAAAGUGUGAACCUCACACAAGCUUUGAUAAAGCUUUCCAACAACAUAAUAUCACGGAUGAUGUUGAGUAUUGAUUGCUCAGGAACAGAUAACCAAGCAGAACAAGUUAGGGCUUUGGUUCGCGAGGUAACACAGAUUUUUGGAGAAUUUAAUGUUUCAGAUUUUAUAGGAAUUUUCAAGAACUUUGACUUGCAAGGUUUUAAAAAGAGGGCCUUGGACAUACACAAAAGGUAUGAUGCUUUGUUGGAUAAGAUUAUUUCUGAUCGUGAAGAACUAAGAAGGGAAGCCAAGCUAAUAGAUGGUGGUGGUGAGAAUGGUGAAGAAGAGAGACUGAAAGAUUUUCUUGACAUUUUGCUAGAUGUCUACAGUGAGAAAAACUGUGAAGUCAACUUUACUAGAAAUCAUAUCAAAUCAUUAAUAUUGGUACGUAUAUAACUUCUCCUCAUACUUUUUAUGUAAUUAUAAUUUUUUUUUUGACCCUAGUAAGUUAUAAAACAUUGUUGGAUUAUUGUUAUUAAAUUAUUUCUUCAAAAAAUAAUAAAUGUCAGGAUUACUUUACGGCAGCAACCGACACUACUGCCAUCUCCGUGGAAUGGGCAAUAUCAGAACUGUUUAACAAUCCAAGGGUGCUGAAAAAAGCACAAGAGGAGGUGGAUAUAGUUACUAGAAAGGAAAGACUUGUGUGUGAAGAAGACGGUCCAAACCUUCCUUAUAUACAUGCUAUCAUAAAAGAAACAAUGAGGCUUCAUCCCCCGAUACCGAUGAUUAUGAGGAAGGGAAUGGAAGAUUGUGUGGUUGAUGGUAACAUGAUUCUGAAAGGCUCAAUGGUUUGUGUAAACAUUUGGGCUAUGGCAAGGGACCCAAAGAUAUGGGAAAACCCAUUAGAGUUUAGGCCAGAAAGGUUUUUAGAAAACAAAGAUAUUGACAUGAAAGGGCACCAGUUUGAGUUGUUGCCAUUUGGUUCUGGAAGGAGAGGUUGUCCUGGUAUGCCUUUGGCCCUACGUCAAUUACCCACUGUAAUUGGUGCUUUGGUACAAUGCUUUGAGUGGAAGAUGCUUGAUUCGGAAUGUAAGAUCUUAGAUCAAGGCAAAAAAAUUGAUAUGGAUGAACGGCCUGGAUUGACUGCUCCUAGGGCCAAUGAUCUUAUUUGUAUUCCAGUUGCAAGAUUGAACCCCCUUACAUUUCUUCAACUUUAGUAAAAGGGAAUUUGUGAUAAAGUAGUGCAAUUGUUGUUUAUGUCUUUCUCUAUUCACAAUCUUAAGCCCUUGCUCUUCUAUUUCUCUUUACUUCUUCUCUCACAUCAUUGAUCACACACCUAAAUCUCCUUUUAUCUAUCUUUUUUGGCUUUCUAUCUCAUUUCCAUAUACUCUUCUUAUACCACACUGGAUAUAUGAAAGUGUAUUUUAAUUCCUUUAGCAUUUCAUCUGUGUUUGUAUAAUGCAAUUUAGAGAUUGAACAAACAUUUGCAUUGGGAUUGGGACGGGUUGAAGAGUUUGUUUGGAUAGAGAGUUUAAGAAGGUAGAGUUCAUUUUUUUUAAAUAACAUUUUUUUUAUCUAGGGACUAUUUUUAAAAAAAAUUACAAGGAUGAAAUUCAAAAUAAAAAUUAUCAGGGAUCAAAACCCAAACUCGCCAUAUUUACAGGGACCAAAAACAUAUUUUAGCCUUGGGAAAAAUAACCGUCUUGGUUGAUGGUUGUGAGGUUGAAGACAAAAGAAGAAAAUCUAGUGAUGAGGGAGUAUGAUAAGGAUGUGUUCUUGGUUUGAUCUAAUGGUCAAAAACUAACUUUCCCAUGAUGGGAAAAAAGUAGCUUUCCAAUGCUAAACCUCACCUAUGCCAGGGGGAUAGUCAGUUGAUUCAAUAUAUACCAUUUUGAUUUCUUACAAAAAAAAUUGAGGUUUUUUUACUUAGAUUAUUUGCAAUAUAAAUUAAUAUUAUCAUAUAAUUUAUAAGGAAUUUGACACUUAUAAAUCCACAGAUUUAGUAGUAGUCAUCUUCUACCAGCUAUACCCCUAAAAUAAAAUCUACUACCAGCUAUGCUUAAUAAAAAUUAUAUGUAUUCCCACCUAAUAUCUGUGUGAAUAUCUUUUAGAUAUGUAUUUAGUUGAUAUUAAAGUAUUUAUGUAUCGUCGUGUAUAUGAAUCAAUAUAGUCUAUUUUAAUGUAUAAGUGCGCAUUACAAAAAAUAAAACUUAGAAUUAUAUUGAUUUAUGUUGUUAAUUUCAUUGUAUAUUUUUUUUUGACUUAAUUGUACUUUUGGUCACUAUGUUUGAUUAAGUUUAUGAAAAUAAUCCACUCUUUUCGUAAUUGAACUUUCUGGUAAUCUGUUUUUACAUUUAUCGCAACUUUGAUUCCAACUCAUGUUUAUUACCCUAAAAAUAGUUAUUUUUUGAUACUAAAAUAUGUGAAUUUUGUCUCAAUAGUGAUACUUUGUUUUUAGAUUCAAUAUUGGGGUAAUAAUUCGCCUUUUAUGGUGCUAAAAAUCCCAAUGUUUAGGGGUUGUUGGGGACCAAAUAGCAAUAAUAGAAUACCUGUUAUGCAGGUUUGACAUCAUUUUUAUAAAUUAAUAAUAUUUUUUCCUUGUCAUUGCUAUUUACUGCAAAAACGGUAAUGAAAUUAAUCAUAUUUGUCAGGUUCCUUACUUAUUUUCGUGGACUCCAUUUUACCACACUUCCCUCUCCCAUGUAUGUGGUAGCUAGAACGUGCGGUAGUCCGCAGGAGUUAGGAGGAGGUACUGCACCCGUGAUCAGUAGUAGCAUUUAUGGUCUGAAAAUGAUAUACCAUCGACUCUAUGCAUGCAAUAAAUAAGAAGGAAAAAAAUAUAUUUUUGAGUAACUUAAAAGAAGGCCCAAGGGUAUUUUUAACUAAAUAUUGAUACUAUUUUUUUUAUUAAUAUUCUUAUAUUAGAUUUUGUAUUUGUAGUUUGCUAAAAAAAUUAAUUUAAAUUUAUUAGUCUAUAUUAAUCUUUUAUAUAUUUAGAUAAGUUACGACAAAUUACAAGCUAAAUUUAAACCUUAAAUUUUGAUAAGUUAGAUUUAAGUCUUAUAAAACCUAACUCGAAUUUACCUAUUUCCACCGUUAGCAUCUGAAAAAUAAUAAUUCUUGUAGUAAGUGUUAUCGCAUUUUUAUUGUUUUAUUCUUCAAUAAAAAUCGAUGUGAUAAUAUUUCUUAACAAUUAAAAUUGUUAUGGUAUAAAUUGCCUAUUUCAAUUGGGAGAAUUGAAAAUUAGGUUUCACAAGGAUCACCUGACAUACACGUAUAUACCAUGUGUCAUUGAUAUAUGCAUUUAACACAUAAUCCACUCUUUAAGUAGAAAUAAAAUCAAAUUUUUUUUGUUGUGUCGGGAGUACAAUUGUUUUUAUUUUUAUUGUUUUUCAGUUCAAACAAAAAAUUCCUGCAAGUAAUUUUAAUUACUUGAGCAACAACCAACCAGUGGUAAAAAGAUCUACAUAACACUAUCCUUGUUUUAAUAAAAAACGAUAUUUGUAGUUUCAUAAUGAGAAAGCAAGACAGUCACAUGUUACCGACCCUCCCUUUGAUCGAAUUGGGUAAAUCAUAUUGGUGUGUUGUUUUAUUUAUCGUUAUUGUUUUGAAUAUGGCUCUGAUGUUGCUCCACACUUAAUUCUACGACUGUUGUUGUCGUUGUUUCUUGACAAUCAGGCCCGGUCCUAGAGUUUUACGGGUCUUAGGCAUAAUAUAGAAAAAGGGCCCUUAUAUAAUGCAUCAUAAUUUUUUUUAUCUCAUUGUUGUGUUUUUUUGCUUUUCAUUUCGUUUUUUUUAUUUCGCUUUUCACUACAAAAUAAAUGUUUUUUUUAGACAACAUCUGAAAAUAAAUUAAAUAUUCUAUACACACCAAAACAAAAUAAAAAUACCGUAGAAGUAGAGAAAAAUAGCACAUGUGAAGUAGACUGAAAUUUUAGCACACUAUUUUCAACUAAAAUAGAAUUUGCUUUGUUAUGAAAAUUAUCCUAAUUUCUUGGAUAAUAAAUAUCGUCGAUAUUUUUAAUAUUAAUGAAGCACAUUAUUAGGAACAAAGGGCCCAAAAAAAUAUCACAAAUUUCUUCGAUAAUAAAUUUUUGAGCAUAUUAUCAAGAACAAAUUUUUUAUAGGAGGGUGUAUAGAAAUAUUUGUGUUACAUGGGAUAUAUAUAACAAAUCUCACUAAAAGGACCAAAAAUACUAACAGAUAUCAGCCCAUUCCUUUAUCAUGUCAAAGUUUGGGCCUUUGCAGAGAAUUUUUCUAUAUAUAUCCCCUGAAAUCCAAAUAUUUCUAUAUACACCCCCUUACCUUAAAAUUUUUUUGGACCCCCUACUGGCAUGGGCUCUAGGCCGUCGCACUCGCGACCUAUGCCUUAGGGCCGGCCCUGUGAACAAUACAAUUGUGGUAAUAAUAAUUCUAUGUUACAGAUGUUCUUACGCUUUGGCCAUUCUUUCGAUAUAAUUAUAACAAUAUAUAGUAAUAAUACGAUUCAGUUGUACUAUGGUUUAAUUCUGUUACUUAAUAUAAAAAGUUAGGCAAACACCUUUUGGGCAUACACCAUGAGAAAAAGAGAUCUAGAAGAGUGGUAUGAUACGAAUUUGAUAAAUUGGUGAUGAGGUAUGAAGAUAGAUAUAGAUAAAAUAAGGUGUUAAAUAAAUAAAUAAGAAUAUCAUAUGCAUAAAUAUUAUUGUUGAUUUUUUAACAAUUUUUCUAUGGAACUAAAUACUAUAUAUUAUUUAGAUGGCAAUUGCAACAAAAGGUUGGUAGUGUUACCAAUGUAAUCAAAAUUAUUUAUUUAUCUUUUAUCUUGUAUGUCAUAUCUAUAACAUAAAUAGUAGAAAAUAAAUAAAUAAAUUUGAUUGGUGUCAAAUCACGUGUAUAACUCUACUCACUUUAUUGUAAGAGAUGUCAUUUCUUUACUUGGUGCCAAAGUGUAUAUUUUUGUUAUACAAUUCACUAUCGAAAAAACGGUAGGGCAUACUUUGAAAAUUUAUUAACGGUUAUCCAAAAUAUAACGCCAUGCAUAUAAGUUUGAUUCACAACACUUCUCAAUUGUGCAUUCAAAGCNAACUUCUCCUCAUACUUUUUAUGUAAUUAUAAUUUUUUUUUUGACCCUAGUAAGUUAUAAAACAUUGUUGGAUUAUUGUUAUUAAAUUAUUUCUUCAAAAAAUAAUAAAUGUCAGGAUUACUUUACGGCAGCAACCGACACUACUGCCAUCUCCGUGGAAUGGGCAAUAUCAGAACUGUUUAACAAUCCAAGGGUGCUGAAAAAAGCACAAGAGGAGGUGGAUAUAGUUACUAGAAAGGAAAGACUUGUGUGUGAAGAAGACGGUCCAAACCUUCCUUAUAUACAUGCUAUCAUAAAAGAAACAAUGAGGCUUCAUCCCCCGAUACCGAUGAUUAUGAGGAAGGGAAUGGAAGAUUGUGUGGUUGAUGGUAACAUGAUUCUGAAAGGCUCAAUGGUUUGUGUAAACAUUUGGGCUAUGGCAAGGGACCCAAAGAUAUGGGAAAACCCAUUAGAGUUUAGGCCAGAAAGGUUUUUAGAAAACAAAGAUAUUGACAUGAAAGGGCACCAGUUUGAGUUGUUGCCAUUUGGUUCUGGAAGGAGAGGUUGUCCUGGUAUGCCUUUGGCCCUACGUCAAUUACCCACUGUAAUUGGUGCUUUGGUACAAUGCUUUGAGUGGAAGAUGCUUGAUUCGGAAUGUAAGAUCUUAGAUCAAGGCAAAAAAAUUGAUAUGGAUGAACGGCCUGGAUUGACUGCUCCUAGGGCCAAUGAUCUUAUUUGUAUUCCAGUUGCAAGAUUGAACCCCCUUACAUUUCUUCAACUUUAGUAAAAGGGAAUUUGUGAUAAAGUAGUGCAAUUGUUGUUUAUGUCUUUCUCUAUUCACAAUCUUAAGCCCUUGCUCUUCUAUUUCUCUUUACUUCUUCUCUCACAUCAUUGAUCACACACCUAAAUCUCCUUUUAUCUAUCUUUUUUGGCUUUCUAUCUCAUUUCCAUAUACUCUUCUUAUACCACACUGGAUAUAUGAAAGUGUAUUUUAAUUCCUUUAGCAUUUCAUCUGUGUUUGUAUAAUGCAAUUUAGAGAUUGAACAAACAUUUGCAUUGGGAUUGGGACGGGUUGAAGAGUUUGUUUGGAUAGAGAGUUUAAGAAGGUAGAGUUCAUUUUUUUUAAAUAACAUUUUUUUUAUCUAGGGACUAUUUUUAAAAAAAAUUACAAGGAUGAAAUUCAAAAUAAAAAUUAUCAGGGAUCAAAACCCAAACUCGCCAUAUUUACAGGGACCAAAAACAUAUUUUAGCCUUGGGAAAAAUAACCGUCUUGGUUGAUGGUUGUGAGGUUGAAGACAAAAGAAGAAAAUCUAGUGAUGAGGGAGUAUGAUAAGGAUGUGUUCUUGGUUUGAUCUAAUGGUCAAAAACUAACUUUCCCAUGAUGGGAAAAAAGUAGCUUUCCAAUGCUAAACCUCACCUAUGCCAGGGGGAUAGUCAGUUGAUUCAAUAUAUACCAUUUUGAUUUCUUACAAAAAAAAUUGAGGUUUUUUUACUUAGAUUAUUUGCAAUAUAAAUUAAUAUUAUCAUAUAAUUUAUAAGGAAUUUGACACUUAUAAAUCCACAGAUUUAGUAGUAGUCAUCUUCUACCAGCUAUACCCCUAAAAUAAAAUCUACUACCAGCUAUGCUUAAUAAAAAUUAUAUGUAUUCCCACCUAAUAUCUGUGUGAAUAUCUUUUAGAUAUGUAUUUAGUUGAUAUUAAAGUAUUUAUGUAUCGUCGUGUAUAUGAAUCAAUAUAGUCUAUUUUAAUGUAUAAGUGCGCAUUACAAAAAAUAAAACUUAGAAUUAUAUUGAUUUAUGUUGUUAAUUUCAUUGUAUAUUUUUUUUUGACUUAAUUGUACUUUUGGUCACUAUGUUUGAUUAAGUUUAUGAAAAUAAUCCACUCUUUUCGUAAUUGAACUUUCUGGUAAUCUGUUUUUACAUUUAUCGCAACUUUGAUUCCAACUCAUGUUUAUUACCCUAAAAAUAGUUAUUUUUUGAUACUAAAAUAUGUGAAUUUUGUCUCAAUAGUGAUACUUUGUUUUUAGAUUCAAUAUUGGGGUAAUAAUUCGCCUUUUAUGGUGCUAAAAAUCCCAAUGUUUAGGGGUUGUUGGGGACCAAAUAGCAAUAAUAGAAUACCUGUUAUGCAGGUUUGACAUCAUUUUUAUAAAUUAAUAAUAUUUUUUCCUUGUCAUUGCUAUUUACUGCAAAAACGGUAAUGAAAUUAAUCAUAUUUGUCAGGUUCCUUACUUAUUUUCGUGGACUCCAUUUUACCACACUUCCCUCUCCCAUGUAUGUGGUAGCUAGAACGUGCGGUAGUCCGCAGGAGUUAGGAGGAGGUACUGCACCCGUGAUCAGUAGUAGCAUUUAUGGUCUGAAAAUGAUAUACCAUCGACUCUAUGCAUGCAAUAAAUAAGAAGGAAAAAAAUAUAUUUUUGAGUAACUUAAAAGAAGGCCCAAGGGUAUUUUUAACUAAAUAUUGAUACUAUUUUUUUUAUUAAUAUUCUUAUAUUAGAUUUUGUAUUUGUAGUUUGCUAAAAAAAUUAAUUUAAAUUUAUUAGUCUAUAUUAAUCUUUUAUAUAUUUAGAUAAGUUACGACAAAUUACAAGCCAAAUUUAAACCUUAAAUUUUUUGAUAAGUUAGAUUUAAGUCUUAUAAAACCUAACUCGAAUUUACCUAUUUCCACCAUUAGCAUCUGAAAAAUAAUAAUUCUUGUAGUAAGUUUUAUCACAAUUUUAUUGUUUUAUUCUUCAAUAAAAAUCGAUGUGAUAAUAUUUUUUAACAUUUAAAAUUGUUAUGGUAUAAAUUGCCUAUUUCAAUUGGGAGAAUUGAAAAUUAGAUUUCACAAGGAUCACCUGACAUACACGUAUAUACCAUGUGUCAUUGAUAUAUGCAUUUAACACAUAAUCCACUCUUUUUAAAGAAAUAAAAUCAAUUUUUUUUUGUUGUGUCGGGAGUAAAAUUGUUUUUAUUUUUACUGUUUUUCAGUUCAAACAAAAAAUUCCUGCAAGUAAUUUUAAUUACUUAAGCAACAACCAACCAGUGGUAAAAAGAUCUGCAUAACACUAUCCUUGUUUUAAUAAAAAACGACAUUUGUAGUUUCAUCAUGAGAAAGCAAGACAGUCACAUGUUGCCGACCCUCCCAUUGAUCGAAUUGGGUAAAUAAUAUUAGUGUGUUGUUUUAUUUAUCGUUAUUGUUUUGAAUAUGGCUGUGAUGUUGCUCCACAUUUAAUUCUAGGACUGUUGUUGUUGUCGUUGUUGACAACUUUGUUCAUUGAUUACUAUUUCUUUUACUUCACACAUCUAAGUUUUAUUGAUGUGAUUAUUUAUUUGAAUUCACAACACAUAUAAUUAUAUAAUAAAAUAUUCUAACAUCACUCACUCCCCUAAAAAGAAUAGUUCGAACAUCAUAUUCAUUUUAACAUAUUGUUUUUGCUAAUUUAGACUGAGCAUGGUCGACGGUACAUACGUUUCUACGGCUCAUUUUCAUUUGUAUCUCCUCACUGACCCUACUCCUUCAGAAUAUCACAUACACAUGUUCUACCUACCAAAUUGGGAGAGGAAAUGUGGCAAAAUGGAGUCCACGGGAAGUAAAGGAACAAGAUCGAUAUGAUUAAUUUCAGUGUGGUUGUUGUUGUAGUAUAAAUGAACAAUACAAUUGUGGUAAUAAUAAUUCUAUGUUACAGAUGUUCUUACGCAUUGGCCAAUCUUUCGAUAUAAUUAUAACAAUAGUAAUAUUGAUACUAUUUUUUAUUAAUAUUCUUAUAUUAAAUUCUGUAUUUGUAGUUUGCUAAAAAAAUUAAUUUAAGUUUAUUAGUCCAUAUUAAUUUUUUUAUAUAUUUAGAUAAGUUACAACAAACUACAAGUAAAAUUUAAACCUUAAAUUUUUUGAUAAGUUAGAUUUAUGUCUUAUAAAACCUAAAUAGUAGAAAAUAAAUAAAUAAUUUUGAUUGGUGUCAAAUCACGUGUAUAACUCUACUCACUUUAUUGAUAGGUAAAUAAGAGUUGUCAUUUCUUUACUUGGUGCCAAAGUGUAUAUUUUUGUUAUACGAUUCACUAUCGAAAAAACGGUAGGGCAUACUUUGAAAAGUUAUUAACAGUUAUCCAAAAUAUAAGGCCAUGCAUAUAAGUUUGAAUCACAACACUUCUCAAUUGUGCAUUCAAAGUGAAUAAACCAAUAUGAUUUCCCAUUCCUUCUCAUUAGCUAUGAUUUUGCUCCUAUUUCUUUUCAUUUUUCAGCUUCUCUCUUACUUAAAGAGAAACAAGAAGUUGCAUGCACGAUUACCACCUCACCCUCCAAGUCCACCAGCAAUACCAAUAAUUGGACAUCUUCAUCUCCUCAAACCACUCAUUCAUCAGGCCUUUCGCCACCUCUCCGAUCAAUAUGGCCCUUUAAUAUCCCUUCGACUUGGCUCCUCUCAAUUUAUCAUUGUUAACACUCCAUCACUCGCCAAAGAGUUUCUCAAGACACAUGAGCUCACUUAUUCUCACCGUAAAAUGAGCAUAGCCAUCAACGUAGUUGCCUAUGAUGAUGCAACUUUUGCUUUCGCUCCUUAUGGGACUUAUUGGAAAUUUAUUAAAAAGCUCAGCACCACUGAGCUCUUGGGUAAUCGAACCAUGGCACAAUUUCUACCGAUUCGAACCCAAGAACUCCAUGAAUUCAUUCAAACUUUGGCAAAUAAGUCUAAGGCAGAAGAAAGUGUGAACCUCACACAAGCUUUGAUAAAGCUUUCCAACAACAUAAUAUCACGGAUGAUGUUGAGUAUUGAUUGCUCAGGAACAGAUAACCAAGCAGAACAAGUUAGGGCUUUGGUUCGCGAGGUAACACAGAUUUUUGGAGAAUUUAAUGUUUCAGAUUUUAUAGGAAUUUUCAAGAACUUUGACUUGCAAGGUUUUAAAAAGAGGGCCUUGGACAUACACAAAAGGUAUGAUGCUUUGUUGGAUAAGAUUAUUUCUGAUCGUGAAGAACUAAGAAGGGAAGCCAAGCUAAUAGAUGGUGGUGGUGAGAAUGGUGAAGAAGAGAGACUGAAAGAUUUUCUUGACAUUUUGCUAGAUGUCUACAGUGAGAAAGACCGUGAAGUCAACUUUACUAGAAAUCAUAUCAAAUCAUUAAUAUUGGUAACUUCACACGACACACAAGAUAGUAACUUCACACGACAUCAACUAUUCUUGGUUACCUGCAAGUUACUCAUACGAAGAGCAGCAUUUUCAAGCAGAAGGGGUGAGAUUUCACAAAACAAUAAUAUCAAGCAUAUAAUUCAAUAAUUGUAUUUAACAACAUAAAUAACUUCAUCUAUUAGUAAUAAUAAUUCUUCAUGUAAUAAUUCUUAAUAGUUCAACCAACUUCUUAAUAUAACAACAUAAUAACAUCACAAUCAAUAUCAUAAACAACAUAGCAACAUCAUAAGCAACUUGACAACGUCAUGAACAUCGUAUAAUCUUCAUAGGUACUUCUUUAACAACACAUGGGUAGAAGACAACUCAGCAACUCAUAGAUGAUAAUUCAUUAACAGCUUAACAACUCAUGGAUGAUAAUUCAUCAACAACGACUUUGACUCGACAAAUGCGACUCCAACUCGACUAUGCAACUUAGACCUCUUAUAUGCAUGUGGUACCAAUUCAGGGCAUGAGCCCCCAAAGGUUAUUGAGUAUUAAUAUACUUCCAGGGCAUAAGCCUCCAUCGCUAAUUUGAGCUAAAGCUCCAUCGUGGUGAGUACAAAGCUCCAGGGCAUGAGCCCCCAACAAAUGUAUGCUAAUGCAUGGACUCAAUCUCUUAAACAUCAUAAUCAUCAUCUCUUAUAUUAGUCCAAUAAUUUGGAACAUCAUCAUCUUCAACAACUUAGACAACAUCAACAACUUAAGACUCCAAUACUUUUGAAUACUUUGGAACGACAACUUACAACUUAACAACUUAGACCAACACCUGCAACUUGAUCAAUAUUCAAUAGCAACAGAAACAGCACAAGCAAUUUCCAUCAUAACAAUAUUAAUGUGAAGCAUCAACAACUUAAACAUCAUACAUCUUCCACAUAAGGCAUAUAAAUAUUUCACAUAGCCAACAACAGCAACAUAGGCAGCACGUAAACAUCUCAAGAUCUAACAAUAUCAAAUGAUAAUCAACAACAACUUAAACAUCUUAUAUAAUUCACAUAAUGUAUAUACAAAUAUAUUACAUUACCAUCAACAUCAAAUCAUAUUCAAAUAAUUCUCAAGUAAUGCAUAAAACAUUAUAUCACAUCAUAAUCAACAACAACACAUCUUAAACAGCUUCACAGAUUAUAAUUAACUUCUUAUAUAGGUCACAAUACUACCUAGGGGUCCAUCUCUAAUCAAUUCAUGCAACACAGAUCGCAACAUCCUAACUUGCACUCAGUUCUCUUAAAUCCCAAAUCUUAAUAUUCUAUUCUAAUAUAUACAUAAAAUAUUUCUACAACAAAUCAUAUAUAUAUUUCUAUAACAAAUAACAUAUAUUUCUACAAGUCACUCGUAUAUAGUUGAUGCUCACUAAGUCACUCAUAUAUAUAUAUAUAUAUAUAUAUAUAUAUAUAUAUAUAAUCAAAGCAUAUAUAUAUAACUAGAUGAAAACAUUGAAAUAUGCGAUGAAAAAGUAACAAAAUUCAAAAUCAAAGCAUAUAUUAAAAGAAAUACAAAAUGGUUGUGAAACUUUGACCGUGAAUUACUUGAGAAUUGCAAAACAUGAUAUUUAGGAUCGAAAGCCACGGUGAAGAAGAGAGGAUGUUGUGAACUCAUAAUCUUUUCAAUAAAAAAAUAAAAAAACUAUAGCACAAAUAUGGUAAAGUAAGACAUCACAAAGCCUAUUCCAAAUCCAUGCAAAAAUAUAUUGCUCCUUUAGUAUUCCAAACAAAAAUGGAAAGAAAACAAACUUUUGGUAUUUUUUCCAACCCCUCUCUCAAAAACCAUAUAAUAUUUUUCACUUGGUUAUCCUCUCAUUUAUAUAGCCCAAUGUGUGAAUAUCAUAAUGAUACACAGGUUACAGACAAAAAAGCAAUAAAAAACAAAACUUAAAAUUAUAAAUGUAGAGAAUUUAUUAGAUAACCCUAAUAAAAAAUUUAGAACAAAAAUUAGAUACACCCUAGUAAGAUGACCCACCUUUGGGAAGAGUCUAUUAGACGGCCCUAUUAAUAAUGUAGAAAAUUUUUCGAUACUCUUCAACACAUAAUUUUCUCUCUAUCUCUCUUCUUAUGAGAUUACCAAUAUAUUACAUCUAUCACACCACUCUUUUUAUAUAUAUAUUUUUUAAUGUAUAUAAUAUAAUGGGGCAAUACUUACAUACAAUACCUCAAGGUAGUGUUGAAACAGUUCCUAACAUAAUUUUUUCAAAACAGUGUCCAUUAUGAUGCUUACGUAAGUCAUAUUUUUAAAAUUUUCUUAUAUUUUACUUUAGUUCAGAACCGGAUAAACAGUUCUUAAAAACCGUACUUAAGUUUCUUUCAUAUAAUGGUGUUUGGAAGUUUAUUGAUUAUUUUCCUCGUAGAAAUUACGGGUAGCAUUUGGAUGAUAUAGAGUUAGGUGACAUUGGUCAAUCACAAUGUCACAAUAUUUGUGAAAGAGAGAGAAACGCAAGCAUUGUGACAUUAUAAUUGGCCAAUGUCACUCAACUUUACUCCCUCUGUUCCAAAAUAUAAGCAAAUUUUACUUUUUAGGUUCAUUCAAUUAAUGAUGUAUGUGGUCCAUAAUAUGAAUCACAUACAUCAUUAAUUGAAUGAACCUAAAAAGUCAAAUUUGCUUAUAUUUUGGAACGGAGGGAGUAUGUAGAGCUGUCAAAACGGGCGGCCCGACCUUAACGGACUUCGGCUUUAUCGGGCCGGGCUAAAAAGCCCGGUUGAAAAACGGGUUUGAAAUAUACUACCCGAGCCCGACCCUCCACGGGCCGCGGGCUAAACAGGCCGACCCAUAUUAAAAAUUACAUUUUUUUUUUUAAAAAGUACUAUAACUAUAGACUGACUAUAUAAGAAAGUUUUAUAAGACAUCUAAUCAUAAUCUACCACGUCAUUAUAUCGCUUUAUAAUUUUUUCCUGAUGGAAUCACAGGUCAUAAGUUAUCAACACUGUGAAGAUGGUGAAAAUAUGAUUGGAUGUUUUCUAAAAAAUUUGUAUAUUGUCGGGAUAUAGGAGUAGCAUUAGUUUCAUUUCAUGUUUAGCGGGUAUAAAGGAAUCAACAUUUCCAUGUCAACAUAUCCAUGUCCUAUUACAGUAACACAUCCAAAUCAAAUGCUAAUAAAAAAAUGUGAAAGUAAAAAAUAGAUUAUUAAAUUUAUGUGUUAAUGCAUUGAAUUUUCACUUUUAUUUUUUACUUUGAUGAUCAACUAAGUAAAGAAUUAUUUAAAAUAUAAAUAUAAUUUAUAGGAUUUUUUUAAUUAUGCGGGCUAACGGGCUAUCCGCGGCCCGUUCGGACUAGCCCUAACGAUACCGGACUUUUUAAGGCCGGGCUAAAAAGUCCUAUUAAAAUUCGGGCUCAAUAUUUAAGGCCCAAACCCUAUAAUUAAUCGGAAUAAACGGACCGGCACAUACAGCCCGACCCAUUUUAACAGCUCUAGGAGUAUGUCACCCAAAUGCUAUUCAAAAAUUACAAGCAUACGACAAAUAUCAUAAAGUUGUACUCAACCUAAUAACAUGCCGUAGGAUCCUAAUAAAUAUACAUGUCAUGUUUUUUUUUUGAGAGAAAAAUACAUGUCAUGUUAUUAACUGAAUCAUCAAUGAGAAAAUAAAAAAUGAAACCACACAUAAAGAUAUACGAGGAAUGUUAACAAAACUUGUAGCUUUUCAUGGAAUCUCUAUAGAUUGAAUAAGCAUAGGAUCAUAUAGUUUCUCCCAACUUCUUUUUCCCCUUCAUCUUUUAAUUUUUUUACACAGACCACUUGUUUCUUACACAGCCAUUUUGGGGGGAAAUAAAAUUAUAUCAUCAAGAAUCUCAUCCAACACGGUUAAAAUCGUUGUCUAAAAACCAAAGGUUCGUCUUAUUAGCAUUAUGCUGUUAAAAAUAAUGGGUAAUGCUACUUCUCACUAACUAGUAGCGGAGCAGGAAUUUUAUAGAGUCUGAGCAAAAUUUUGACCGCAAAUUCACAUGUAACAUAAUAUAUAAAUAGUCAUAAAUUGAAAUAAAAGAAACUCGUCAUUUUUUCGAUAAAAGUACAAUUUGAAACAAGAGAGAUGAAACAUAAUCUGCCAAUAGUGUGCUAAAUAAAAUUAUGAGGUAAAUGCCCUUUCGAAGACCUCUUUGCGGUGAGUGUUUGAAUAAUAUCAACAUUAUCAAGUUACUUGAAUAUCUCCCGCUCGGUGUAACAUAUCAUCAAGUCAUUGAACCACACAUCGUUGAUCUUGUUGGUAGCAAUUCUUUCCCACGAACAUAUAAGAUUAUUUUACUAGAAUAUUGACAGGGUUUGAUAACUAGUGGACUUCCAACUUUUGUUGAUUUUGGUAAUAGCUUUGGUGCACUUGCUAUUGUUGAAGAUCCACAAAUUAGAAGUUAAAAUCUGAUUUAUUAUGCCAUGUUGUAGAAGGGAUUGUAGGUUUUUUUUUUAGGUAUAAAGUGAUUUUAAGUUGUAACUUGAUAUUAUGUUAUUUUCUCCAAUAAGCUAUUAUGAAUAGUGAUUCAAAUUUUGUUACCAUAAAUUAAAUGAGCAAUGUAGUAUAUAUAGAUUUUGAUUUCUCUGAGUAUUGAGUAUUAGUUUUGGUGAAUGGUAUAACAGUUCAUAGUUGGGGAGAAUUAUUCUAGUUAAGUCACUUCAAGAAUAUAUUCUAAAAAUUGAUUAUAGCUAAUCAAUUUAAAAUUCCAGUGAUAUUGAUUAUAAUAUUUUAUUAUAUUGAUCAAACUAAUUUUAGUGUUCAUUUUAUGAAUUAUUCAUUUUUAGAAUAUCUAGUAGAAUAGAAAAUAUAAGAAAUAAAAUAAAACAAUGAUAAAUUUUAGUGACAACCACAACCGUAGGUAGAAGCCAUAAUGUAUUUAAAAUGGUCUCCUUAGAAUUAUUGUGUUUUGUUCGUAGGUAAAUGUGAAAAGCAUGCAGUGACGACCAUUUGACAAUGAUAGUUAGAUUUAGCUACGAAAUUUUUUCCUAUAGUGACGGAUUUUGGCUGUUACUACAAGUCAAAUUUAUUGUAGCCAUACAAAGAAAGUAUGGGUUGAGCCCGGGUACGUGCCCAAACUAGCUGGAUGUGUAAUUCUGCCCUUGUCACUAACAACUUUCUAGUGAAAAGAUCACGAUCUCUUUGGAAGUUUUUUUUUUUUUUUUUUUGUCAAGUAGCCUAGUGGCUAAAGCUCACACAAUUUAAUUGUGAAAAAGUGGAGUGUUCGGGGUUCAAACCUCGGACCCUACAUAUAAAAUGCAAUAUCCCUAUCAACUGAGUUAAACUCACGGGGAUAGUAUUGUUUAUUGUAAUUGUAGCAAAGACUCUUUUUUUUAUUUUAUUUUAUUUAACCAUCCAUGAUUUCCAUCAAUUUAGAUCCAACGAUGGCAAUCAUUUCACGAGAGAUUCGUGAUUUUUUAUUUCGCUAUUAAUAGCAGUGCUGUAAAAAAAUUGACUAAACUAUGUAUGUAAAAAAUAUGUCCAUAUUGUUUUUGUUAAGAAGCGUAUCGACUAGAAAUUCACCUAUUUUAGGUGAAUAAAUUGGAUGUCUGGGUUCGAAUCUGACCCAUGUGUAUAUUAUAUAAUGUCUCUGCUAAUUGAACUAAGUUCGCCAGUUACACUACAUAUUUUAAAGCAUUAUUGGUUCAAGAAUGCUAUAUAACUUUUUUUUUAACGGCUCGGGAAUGAUAUAACUAAAUCAAGAGAUAAAUUGAUUUUAAAUUUACAACUUCAAAGAAACGAUUAUUUGGGAAAUUAAUAUCUGAAGAACACACUUCGUGUCCGUAUGAAAACACUUUGGUUCAUAUGAAAUUGAAAAUGAAAAUGAAAGGUGAGUGGUCUCAUUUGAUUGAAGCUCUUUAAGCAAGACACACACAUUGAUACAAUUACAGCAUGAAAGUUUAAAUAAAUUUCUCAUUUCUGUUGAAAAAAAUAAUAUCCCCACAUUUUUUUAGAAUUAUAAUAUUCCUCUAAUUAGAGACAAAUUUAUAAUGAAAAAUCGACGGCAAAGAGUAAAAGAGUGAUCUAUGUACAAGAAAACAUGGACAUGGAUGAAUCGAAAUCUUAAAUAAAUUUAUGUUUAUUUAAAAGGGAAAUCUUAAAUAACGUAGCAUGUGUUUGUAGUAAAUCUUCCAUAGAUACACUCACGUAAAAGUAAAAUAUUGGAUUGCGUUCUUUUUCAAUCAUUUUUGAAAGAAUUAAAAGAUUAAACGUAUAAUCCAAGUUUUUGUGAGGCUGAAUGAAAGCUCUAUAAAUGGACUUGUGAGUUAAUAUACAUUAUUCUCUUCUCUUAACAAAAAUACAUUGUUAAUGGAUGGAUAUACUUAAAUAGAUAUGGACAAGGCUGUUUAUGAGAUUUUGAUGGUCUACAAAUGAACUUACAAUUUGGAUCCUAACUAAUAAGUGUAUAUAAAAAAGGGUUAAUUAAGUUUUUGGUCCUUAUAAAUAUCUGUAUUUUGAUUUUAGUCCCUAUAAAAACAAAUCAUACUUUUUAGUCCCUACAAAAUUUUUCAUUAGUGUUUUUAGUCCAUGUUAAAUUAAAAUUUGUUUAAUUAUGCUUAAACUUCUAAAUUUUUGAAAGAUUUUUUUACAGACAUGUUCAUAACAUCGUAAGACACUCUUUUAUAAAAUAUUUCAGUUUUUUAACAUGUAAUGAAUUAAAUAUGAAUUUUUCUAAAAGCCAAACUUUCAAGAUUAUAUUAAUGAAAAGGCUAAAAUAUGGUUUUAGUCCCGGCAAAUAUGUCUCGUUUUGGUUUUAGUCCCUGUAAAAAAAAAAUUGUUUUUGGUCCCUGCAAAAUUUUUUGUUUUUGAAAAUAGUCCCUGGGACUAUUUUCAAAAACAAAAAAUUUUGCAGGGACCUUUUUAAAAAAACAAAAUAUUUUGCAGGGACCAAAAACUACAAAAUGGGUUUAGUCAUCAUGUGCCACGUAUGCAAAUCAUCACAAAAAUGGGGUCAGAGACUAUUUUUAAAAACAAAAAUUUUGUAGGACCAAAAACAAAUUUUUAUUUUUACAGUGACUAAAACCAAAACGAGACAUAUUUGCAGGGACUAAAACCAUAUUUUAGCCUAAUGAAAAUUUGGACCUAAUAAUAAAAUUUUGAGCUAAUUUUUUGCGGAGGAACUUUGUAUAAUGUUCUAAAUAAGUAUGUAAAAAAUAUGUUAAAAAUUUAAAAGUUUAAGAACAAUUAAGCAAAUUUUAAAUUUACAAGGACUAAUAGUAUGUGUCUGUCCCUGUUUAAUUAUACUUAAACUUUUAUAUUUUUAAAUGAUUUUUAAUAGACAUGUUAAGAACAUUAUAAUAAGCUCUUUUAUAAAAAAAUUAUAAUUUUUUAACAUGUAAUGAAUUAAAUAUAAUUUUUUAAACGCCAAAAAUUCAAGAUAAAACUAACGAAAAUUUGGACCGAAAAAUAAAAUUUUGAGCAAAAAUAAAAUUUUUUAAUGAUUUUUUACACACUUGUUUAAAAAAAAAUUAUUUUUUAAACAAGUGUGUAAAAAAUCAUUAAAAAAUUUAAAAUUUUAAUUUAACAGGGACUAAAAAUACGUGCUGAAAAAUUUUAUAGGGAGCAAAAUCUGUUAAUUUUUUUUUUAUGAGGACUAAAAACGAAAUUCGAUAUAUUUAUAGAGACUAAAAACUUAAUUAACUCUCUGAAAAAAUUGAAUUAUUAAAAUGUGAAGAUAAUUUUCUUGAAGAUGAUAAUUUUUAUUACGUUAGGAAAAGUCUUUAAUAUGUCAUCUUUUAAUUAAAAUGUAUAUGGUUUUAGCAUUUCCUAAUUUUUUUAUUUAUUUAAUGAACCCUUAAUUUUAUAUUUUAUGACCCAAAUUUUAAAUUUAUUUUUUAGGACCUAGAACGGUCGUCCUCCUCACCCUGCCUUAAAUACGGCUCUUAAUAUGAACAUUAAUAUGAGCAGUGAAGAUAAAAACAAAGAAAAUUUCGUAACCCAUAAAAAUUCAAUUUAUUGAUAUGCUCCUGUAUGAAGCGCAGUGGGUGAAUUCAAUUAUUGAUAUGCUCCUGUAUGAAGAAGUAGUUGGUGAAUUGAAUGUUCCAUGUUUUGACACGUAUCAAAUUCCUGAGGCAGAGGAAAUUAUGAAGAUAUUGGACAAGAUAAAAUCUUAACACACGUAAUACAUCCGAUUAUAUUUUUUUAAGAGAUUAAAAUGUAAUUAUAUUACCUAAUCAAAGUGUUAUUCGUAACAUAUAUAUAAAGUAUGGAAAAUAGAAAAACUGAAACAAAAAAAGAUAAAGAAAGAAAUAAUAUUAACCGAUGUCCAAUAUAGUAAAUGGAUUAAGCCAUCAAAUAUGGUAGUUGAAAGAGAGAUUUACUAUUUUUACCUUUAACCAAAAAUAAGUAAGUGACUUAAUCUUAUCAACAAUCUGAUAUGUCGAACAUUCUUUGUCAUUGAAAAUUCUGCUAUUUCUUUCUUUCCAUAUUUCCCCCACAGUAGCAUACCAAAUCAAAUGCAAAAUAGAUUGUCGCACCUUAGAGCAAUUGCCACCAACAAAACCAAACUGAGUGAGGUAAUUCGCAAGCUCUCUAGGGAUGACCGAGCAGACAUCCAACCAACGAUGAAUAAAGUGUCAGACUUCCCCAAAAAGAUGACAAUGUAAAAAUAAAUCAGGGGAAGUUUCCAACGAACCGCAGCCACCAACGCACAAUCUAGCAUCAGAGGAAAAAGAACGACCUUCAUAGGAAUAUCCUUAUGUCAUAGAUCCUUCGUAGGAACGCAGUGUCCGUAUGAUGCUGAUGAACCAGGAUUUUAUAACUUAUAAGCACUCCUAACAGUGAAAUCAUGACUCGAUUCCAGUGUCCAAAGCCACAUAUCCUCUUUAUUAACCUGCAAAGUCACAUUUUGAAGUAAUAAACAAAGUUCUUCCACCAGAUCCUCCUCCCACGCGAACAACCUCCGCCUCCACGUCCACGCCUCACCAUCCCCCCAGCCUAACUUACACAUAUUAAACACAUACACCUCAUUAAGCAAUGACAAAUCAAACAUCCGAUUAUAUUUAUAAGCAAAAAAUAAUUUUUUUUAAAUUUAUUGAAUACUUAAUAUAUAUCUAAUCAUAUUUAUAGACCAGAUAUAUUAGUUAUUCAAUAAACUUAACAAGUUAUCUUUUGCUUUCCUUCAAAAAAAAAUAUUUUGCUUAUAAAUAUGGGUCAUGUUAACCGGUGUCUACGGGGCACUGGUUAAGGAAACUAAAAAAAGAUAGUUUUAAAAUAAAAGUAACACUUUUUAUACUUUUGAAAAGUUAACAACACAAGUUGCAAUGUAGUACUUAUACUACAUUUGACUCUUUAAUCAGUGCCCCGGAAACACUGAUUAUCCUGAAGGCAUUGAUUAACAUCACCUAUAAAUAUAACCAAAGAAUAAUGUUUAUUUUGAUAUUUUUUUUUGAAGGAAAUGUUUAUUUUGAUAUGUAUAGAACAGGUGAAUGUUGUUGAUUUUUUUUUUUUUUUUUAGGGAAGGUGAAUGUUGUUGAAUUGAGUGGUCCAUGUUUUGGUAUUCAUAUCUAAUGCACGGAAGCCACUUUUUUUUUUUUCUUUUUUUUUUAGUACAUAGACGAAAUGGAUACGGUAGCCACUUUAAAUUAUGAAGAUCUUUUUUUCUUUUUCUAACUGAAAAUUGAAAAAUUAUGAUGAUAAUUGGGCAAUGUGUAUAGUAAAUUGGCAUGCACGAGUGAUAUGAUUAAGUUUAUUAUUUUAGAUUUUAAUUAAAAUUUGGAGUCUUAAACAUUUCUAUUUAAUACUCUUUUGGGGGGAAUCUAAGUCCACAAAAUUUAGAGUCCUUGUACAAUAUAGUCCACGUAGUACAUGAGUUAAGCCGGCCCUACACUUUGUGUGCAUUUAACAACCUAGCUGAUCAUUAUCAAAACAAAAAUUCACAUUUUAAAUUGAUUUGCUAAAUGAUUUAUGUUAUUUAUAUUAUGAGUUAGAAUCUGUUAAUACUAAGGUAAUUAAAAUCGGAUCGGACGUUGAACCGGUGAAGGCAUGGGUUCAAGGUUUAAGGGUUCGACUGGAGGUUCGACCGGGGUUUAACCGGUUAUGAUUAAAUGUAAUUUUAAAAUUUAAAUAUAUUAUAUAAAUAAUAAUAAAUAGAAAAUAACAAAGUUUUUGUAACCUUAUAUCAUUUAAAAAAUAAUUUAGUAUCAAUUUUGAAUCUCCCAUGAACACGUUUUAAAAAGAAAUAAGUUGUUUUUCUAUAUAUAAGAUAUGUUGGACUGUUUAGUCUACCUAUGAAUACUUUUGGCACCCUCUUGUAUUUAUAUGGUUUUAUUAGACUUUGAAUACUUUUAGCCCAGGCCCAUUUAUCCUAACCCUAAAAUACUAGAUGAAAAUGAGGAGCAGAAUUCACUCAGCCGUCAGCCACUCAGUCUUCUCUUUAUUCUUUGUUCUUCAAGUUCUUUGAUAAAAAAAAAGUGCAAUCUUCAUUCUUUUUGUGCAUCUCUACCUACAGGCUACAGAAACAUCGUUUUUGCUCGUUUUUUUCCUGGAAAUAAACCAAAAAAACGGUUUAACCUGCUGAACCGCAAAACCUCCGGUUUUCCGGUUUUCUUCCGGUUUAGCGGUUUGUUCCCGGUUCUGUAGCAGAGCGGUUUUUAUACGUUUCCGGACCGGAGAUAGAUCCGGUUCCCGGUUCAGCCGGUUGGACCGGCCGGUCCGGUUUUUAUUACCUUGGUUAAUACCAUACAUUAAAUUUCAACCAUUAUAAUUAUUUAAUCUAAUGAUUCAUAUUGUGUCAAUAAUAAAUGAAAAAAACACAUUAAGAAGUUAACCAGAGAUUGUCACUAUAUGAGAUAUUCUUUAAUUGGUAAUUAAUUUUUUUUAUUAUUAAUAUAAUAUGCGUCGUUUGAUAAAAUAAUUAUAAUUGUUGAGAUUUGGUGUAAGUCCAAUGACUUACACUUGAUGUCAACAUAUUCUUACUCUAUUAAAGAUAUAUAUGUAUAAAAGAGAAAGAAAAUAUACUUUUACAAAAUUACUCUUAUUACGUUACAAUAAUAUAAAGUGGAGGUUAUUUAUUUGAAAAUAAUGCUCUGAUGUUAAUUUUUAGGAAAAAUUAAGAUUGCAUUGAAAAUCAAAAUGUCAUUUAUUUCAGGGGAAAUUGUGAGAAGUAUUUGUGAUUAGUCUAUCAUAUUAUCAAUAAAUGAGAGAAUUAGGCCGACAAAAUGUCUUCUUUGAAGUCUCUAGUUCAUGAGCUAGCCUCUUGAUUAUGUGUUUAUGUUUAUGAAUUGGGUGCUAAUGUGACUCUUGCAAGGGUAGGUACGGUACAUGCCCACACAAGGGUUACUGUAGCUCUCUCCUCUCUCUGCGUGUGAAGCGAGAUGGAUAUUAUAUUAGAGUAUAUGUAUAUGUGUCGUAUUAGGUCCUACUUCUUUCGUCCCAUAAUACUUGAUACAGUUAACCUUAUUACGCAUGUCAAUGUAUAAUUUUGAGCUUAAAUAUCUUGAAUAAAAUAUAUUAGAAAAAUUAUGAAAAUUUUUAUAUUUUAAAAAUAUUCAUCGAAACAAAUCUAACGACUUAUAUGAUUAUUUAUGUUAUAUGAAGGAGUAUAUCUAAAGUGUGAGUUUUUACGUACUCAUUAAUUAUCAGUAAAUUUAAGGUAUCAAAUGAGUAUGAAUUCAAUUUUCAUCGGUAUAUUAUUUUGAGUGAAAUGAAAAAAAAUGACAUUCACAAUAAAACAUAAGAUUAUUCCAUUAGGUCUUAAUUAUAAGCAAAUAUUCAUUAUUUAGAUUUAUUCAAUAACUAAUUUAUUUAGUCUAAAGCUUUUUUUUUAAUUAGAGCCAAGAUCUUUCAAUUUUGCCAUUAAUUACCAAAGUUUUAGAAAUAUAAAUACAUGGACAUCUGUAACUUUUCAUAACUAUAAUAAUGGAGUCCCCUCAAAAAAAAAAAACUAUAAUAAUGGAGAGAAAAAAUAGGGACAAAAAAGAGAGGAUUCUAAGUUGCUUUUUUUCACUUGUAGUCAAAACCGACAAACCAACAAAUAAACCACAAUAAAUAUAAAUAUAAAUAUAUAUAUACACUUUCAGGCAGAGUAUAUGCUUGUAAAACAAUAGUUGUGUUCUUUUUCAAUCCUCCCAGCCAGCGUUCCGUUUUGGAUUUUGCAUAUAAAAUAAUAAAUGUGAUGUGAGAUAGGAUUUAUUAAAACAAUGACAAUGAAAUUAACCACAUUUCCACUUGUGGACUCCAUUUAACCACAUUUCCACUUGUUUCCUUAAAGAACUAGGCCUUUUUUCUGGUAGAACAUGUGGUAUUCCGCAUGACAUGUGAUCAGCACUCGGCAGUAUGCAUGGGUAGCAUUUAUACACUGAAUAUAUACCAUCAAACAUGCUGUUCUAAUUAAAUUUGAAGAAAGAAAUAUUAACUCUAUUUUGUCAGAAAAGAAAAUGAUGGUGGAACUUACUAUCCUUUUGUUGUGUAUAUUCACGCUCUAAAAUAAAUGGAGAGAAGAUCUUCUUCCAAUAAAGAGAGAAACUCUCUUCUUUUGGAGGCAUAAUAGUUUCUUCAUUCUAUAAUAGUAAUUAACAUGUUCGUAAAAAAAUUGUCUCCCAAUAAGGACACUUUUAAUUUUUAAGGUGAUAUUACUUAACAUGUCCCUCUCAAUUCAAUAUUUAUAAUUUUCAAAAAUUCCUAUAUUUAGGAACGACGAUAAUAAUUUUUUUCUCAAAAAAUAUUAAUGGGUGUCAUUAGGGCAUUGAUUAAAGUAAUAAAAUAAAUAAGAGCUACUCCAUCGCUUUGUUCUUCAAAUGCAAGAACAUCAUUUGUGUGAAGAACUUUUAUUUUUUAAAAAAAGUUAAAUUAACCCACCCAAAUUAACACGGGGAGAAUCAAAUUUGAAACCUUGAGAAGGAGCACACUCCCAGAUUCCAAGUUAAUACCACUAGACUAACUCAAAUAGAUUUAAAAGUGAAGAACAUAAUUUUGAUUCUAGUAUUGUAGAUGCUCUAAGUUUGCAUCAAAAAAUUAUGUAAUUAUCGUUAAGAUAAAAAUAAAAACUUGUAUUUUUAAGACAAAUUUUUUAUUAAUAGAUUCUUUAUAAGCUAUAAACUUAAAGCACUAGUUAACACAGCCAUUAUUUUUCGUGUUUGUUUUUGUUGAUGUUGUAGUGACCACGUCAGCCGCUGGUAUUGUUAGAGCAACUACUUCAACCGCUGGUAUUAUUGAUGUUACAUCAACUAUUUCAGUACUGGUAUUGAUGUUAUUUAUAUAUACAGAAACAAAAAAAAUUGACAGUCGUAUUCGACCAUUUUUAUUCUAUAUAGAUUCCAUCCAGUUAUAACUUUUGUUUUUUCUUUGAUUUUGGCUUGGAUGAAAUAAAUAUUAAAUACUACAUAAACUUUGUUUUGUAAAACCACUGUAUUUUGUCUUAAUUGUUUUGAAUUUAUCAAAUGGCUGACCAUUAUAUUUUGAUCUAGUUGUAACUUGAAUAUAUCAAAUUGGUUAUGCUUUUUUUUCAAAGAAAAGUGCUAAAUAUUUCGAGGCUUGUCAAGACGAAUUGAAACAAUGCAAGUGUAUAUAUAUAUAUAUAUAUAUAUAUAUAUAUCAGACUGCCUGUUUUUUUAGUUGGAUCUCCAAGUUUUUGGAAUGCUCCGAAUUCUACUUGAGCAUCCAAAUCUGCAAAAGUUAUUUUUCAUUGAAUCAUAUGAAUCGAUUUAGUAAUAACGAAAUUUCUGGUCUUUUAACUUUAGUGAAUCACAUGAAAUUUUACGGAGACGGAAUUGUUAGAGCGGAUGUUCCUUUUUGAAGGACAGAAUCGAAGUAUAGUGUCGAAAGCCUUCGUAUUUUAAUACACAUAUUUAAUUUAUUCGGAGCUAUUAGAGCGGGAUCCACUUUGAGGAAUAUGAGUCGAAGCAAUAACCAAAGAAACUUUAAACAUUUGAGUUUGGUUGAAAGGAAAAAAAGUGCGGAUAAUAUCUAUCCUUAAAUAGGAAUCUGUAUUGAUAUAUAUAUAUCAAUAAGGUGUACUGGUACUUUCCUACUUCAAAAAUCUUUAAAUUAAUUAUUAUUUUUAUGGAAUAAAGAGCUAUUUGUUGAUAUUUGUAUUUUAGAAAAUGUCAUUUCAUUAGAAAAAACAUCAUUUCAUUGUUUAUAAAAAUCAUACUAAUUUAUUUUACAUUUUAUUGUAAAAAAUAAUCAAAAUUCUCUAUUAUGAGUACUAAAAACUCAGAAAAAUUAAAUUUUAUUUCGUCGACGUUUUUGGUUAAUAAGAUUUAAUUAUUAUAAUUAUAGGUGAUGGAAAACAAUUUUUCUCUUCAAAAAUAACACAUUUAACUAUUAAUUUAUUGAUUGGGUGUACCAAUACACUCAAAUUUUUGAGUGUACCAUAGAAUUUGCCAUAUAUAUAUAUUUGUUCUGCACAUUGUUACAUAUACUAGCUGCCAACACAUGUAAAUGAGCUAAAUCAUAGAUUACACAACACAAGCAUGUUAUGCCCAUUUAUCGUUAUCCAUUUUCGUGUGGAUAGCUUGUGUGUCAGGGGUGAUAGAAUUUUGACUAUUAUUUUUUCCAUCCUAUUCAUUUUUCCCGAAAAUGUCACUAUAAGUUUAGGAUUCUAUUAUCCGAAUACAAUUUGGAUGUGUUUGGAUUAUAUCAAGAUAUUGUUUUUUAAGAAUAUCAAGGAAUGCUGAAAACGAAAACACGAACAUAAGCAUUUGAAUGAGAUUUUGUUGUGAUGCAUUUGAAAGAGAACGAUUUGUUGCGACACCUUUGAAGAAGAUUAAAUUACUGCAACGCAUUUGACAAGCUGGACGCCGCGUGAGUUUAGGUUCCAACUUUCUAUAACGUUUGGAUAACAUAAGGACAAACACAAAUCUUUUUAAAAAUAUUAAUGACCAUAACAUGUUAGAAAUAACUAAACUACAUUUUUAGUAAAACAUAAAGGAAAAUAAUAUUUGAGCAAAAAAAUAAAAUAAUUUAAAGAUCUUAUUACAACUUUUUUAAUUCAGUCUAAAAAACUUUUUUUCAAAUAUUUAUAAAUAGUUCAACAAAGACCUACAAAUUAAUAACUAGAUUAUUUCACACCAUACCAUAUGAAAGGUGCAAAAUGCUGAUCGUGGUCUUCAACUUUAUGUGACAACAAACAAAACUUGCCUUUGUAUACGGUUUAUUACUUAGAUCAACGAUUGUUUAAUUAUUGUUUCUAUAUUCCCCUGCUACCACUACUAUAUAAAUUAAAGCCCAUUGUGAAGAAAAAAAGCAUCCACCAAAGCCAAAGAAAAAGAAAAUGGGAUCCGAAGCAAACACUCAUAUCCUUCUUAUCUCUUAUCCAGCACAAGGACACAUAAACCCUCUUCUUAGACUAGCAAAGUGUCUUGCUGCAAAGGGUGCUUCUGUCAUCUUCAUCACAACAGAGAAAGCUGGCAAAGACAUAAGAACUGUUAACAAUAUCAUUGAAAAAUCACUCACUUCAAUUGGUGAUGGUUCUCUUACUUUUGAGUUCUUAGAUGAUGGUUUAGAAGAUGAUCAUCCUCUUAGAGGAAAUCUUUUAGGCUACAUAGAACAUCUCAAACUUGUUGGAAAACCCUUUGUUUCUCAAAUGAUCAAGAAUCAUGCUGAUUCAAACAAACCAUUUUCAUGUAUCAUAAACAAUCCUUUUGUUCCAUGGGUUUGUGAUGUAGCUGAUGAACAUGGUAUUCCUUCUGCUUUGUUAUGGAUUCAAUCAACUGCUGUUUUUUCUGCUUACUAUAACUAUUUCCACAAACUGGUACGUUUCCCUUCACAAACAGAACCUUAUAUUGAUGUUCAAUUACCUUUUCAAGUUCUUAAAUACAAUGAAAUCCCAGAUUUUCUUCAUCCUUUUAGUCAAUUUCCAUUUCUAGGGACACUCAUCUUAGAACAGUUUAAGAAUUUGUCUAAAGUAUUUUGUGUUUUAGUAGAAACCUAUGAAGAACUAGAGCAUGAUUUCAUUGACUAUAUUUCAAAAAAAACAAUUUUCGUAAGACCCAUUGGUCCAUUGUUUCACAAUCCAAAUAUUAAAGGUGCAAAAAAUAUUCGUGGAGAUUUUGUUAAGAGUGAUGAUUGUAAUAUUAUAGAGUGGCUAAGCACAAAGCCAAAAGGUUCUGUGGUUUAUAUUUCUUUUGGGUCUAUUGUGUACAUUCCACAAGAACAAGUGAAUGAAAUUGCAUAUGGGUUAUUGGAUUCUCAAGUAUCGUUUUUGUGGGUAUUAAAACCACCUUCGGAGGAAUUAGGGCUAAAAGAACAUAAUUUGCCAGAUGGGUUCUUAGAGGGAAUAAGUGAGAGAGGAAAAGUGGUGAACUGGAGUCCACAAGAAGAAGUACUUGCUCAUCCUUCAGUGGCAUGCUUCAUAACACAUUGUGGUUGGAAUUCAUCAAUGGAAGCACUUUCUUUGGGAGUUCCAAUGUUGACAUUUCCAGCAUGGGGUGAUCAAGUCACAAAUGCAAAGUUCUUGGUAGAUGUUUUUGGUGUAGGGAUUAGAUUGGGUUAUGGUAUGAUUGAAAAUAAAUUAGUAACAAGAGAUGAGGUGAAAAAGUGUUUAUUGGAAGCUACAACAGGGGAAAAAGCAGAGGAGUUGAAGAAAAAUGCAAUGAAGUGGAAGAAGAAGGCGGAUGAAGCAGUGGCCAUUGGUGGAUCCUCUGAUCGGAAUCUUGAUGAAUUUAUGGAAGACAUUCAGAACCGUUGCAAUAUUUUUUUUGAAGAAGUUAAAUUAGUCCACUCAAAUUGACACCGGAGAUAAUAGAACCUGAGAUCUUGAGGAAAAACACACUCCCAAGUCUCAAGUCAAUACCACCAUAUCAACCUAAGUGGGUUACAGGAGAACUCUGGCAAUAUUAAUAUUGAGAAGAUGUAAUUUUAUUUUUUAUUUUUUGAAUGAUGAAGAUGUAAUGUAAUGUAAAGUUUCAAUAUGAUAAUUUGCCCUGUCUUUAUUUGUUGCAGAAAAUGGACAAUUACCACACAUUUCACAUUUGUAUGCAAAAUCCAAAUAGGAUUAAGUUUUGGGUGGCAUUUCACAUGGGAAAGGCCAAUUCUUUCCCACCAUGGACAACUUUUGAUCAACCAUCAGAUUUUAGAGUAUAUUACAUGUUACUAUAUGUCUCUCACACCGGAUCUAAUCAUCUAUCCUUUACACCUCAUCUCCUUCUUUGUCCAAGUCCAACCACCACCACUAAUGUUCAUCAUCAUCUUCAAUUUUUUAUCAUCAUCAUCCUCAUUACUCAAACCCAUCCAACAUUUUUUCUGCUCAAACCCAUUUUAACAAAUACCUCAUGCAUCUAGUGUAAGCCUCUUGUUUGUUCUCUUUCGGCACAAGAAAAUAAAAAUAAAAAAUCUUCAUUCAAGUAAAAAGCUACUAGUACAGCAAUGGAGUUUUCACUUUUUAGUUCUAGAAUCAGAUGAUUUUUUGCUAAAAAAAACUACUACAACAAUGGAGUAUUUUUUGAGAUCUGGAAUCUUAUAUUCAAAUCUACAAUGGCUUUAAAAAAUAAAAGAUAUAAGUUUCUUCAUUUCCGGUAUGAAUGAUACCAAUUCUCAAAACCAAAUGCAAAAGCAUUAACUGAAUUCCUGUCUUUUAUGACAGUCAUGUAUUGAUCAAGAAGCAAGAAGCAAGAACUUGUCAUUUUGUUGAUUUGUAAAAUUCUCAAAAUAAAUUUUACAGAUUUUACAAAUAAAAAAGAAAGCCACAUCUAAAUGAAAUUAUUUGUGUGUUUCUAAAUUUCCAGUUCGAAAACAAUUAAUCUGUACAUAAGCAUGACCAACUUGGCCAGGAGGUGUGGUGUGGAUUGUAGAGGUUGAGGAUAAAGGGUGGUGGAAAGGGUAAAAGAAAUAAUCUAAUGCUGGCAGUGUAUGAUAAGAUUGUGUUCUUCAAUUAAUCUGACGACCAAAAUUAACUUUUUUAUGGUGGGAAAGGAUUCACCUUUCCCAUGUGAACACACACCUAAGUUUUGUUAGGAGAGCAUAGUAAUAAUUGUACCAUGUAACUCUUUGGACAUAACAUCAUGGAAACAUAAAUGAUUGGGUACUAUGAUUCGAUGAUUUGUUGGUAUAUGGUCCCCGUGUCCCUUGUUUGUAAGUCAUUUUGAAUAAAAAUUCUCUAAAUACUCCUUAUUAAUAUUAUUAAGUCUAAAUACUCAUUCCUUAAUUUUAAGUGUAUUCUAAAAAGGAAAAUUCUAUGUUGAAGUUAUUAAAAUGACUUUUCUUGUGAAGUUAACAAUAUAACAUCAAAAGUGUUGUGAGUAACACCCCACUGUUUGUACAGUGACAUCAAAAGUUCAGUCCCCUUAGUAUCAUCAAUUCAUCAGAUUAACAAGAAUACACUUAAUCUAAUUUUAUCCUACUUUGUUUUAAGUGUAACACCCCACAAAGUGUAACACUCACAUGAUAUCAGCAACUCUGUUUGCAUGUUAAAGAUGCCAACGAAUAAAUAGUACCUGUAUUACUAUUGAUCAUUAAUCAACAAUUUUAAAAUGAAUCAAACAUUAAGAUUAAAAUUAACUUUUUCAGAAAAGUCAGUUUCAUGACUGCACCGUAGAAGCUCCCUUCUAAAAAUUCCUUCAAAAAAGUGUGUUUAAAUUAAAAAAAAAAUUGUCCUUAGGGAAAAUUAUAUACCCCUUAUUCAUACGUAUCUUGAAAUAUAAAAAGUUAACAUUAAGGGAAAAUUACAGUCACCUCCAAUCAAGUCUAUUGAAAUCACACUGACACCCCCUCUAGUUUUAAAUUUUACAUUAAUCUCCCUUAAGUUAUCAUGUAAUAGACAAACACAUCCCCUCAUUAUUAACACCGUUUAACUUUUUGUUGAUAUUUUUCUCACGGUCAGUUUCAUCUCAUGAACCUUCCCGAUCACUGUCAAACAGAAAACUGCCGCCUCCAACAACGGUUGAUAACAAACCUCGAUCAUUGCUUUCACUGCUUCGUCCUCUUUCCAUCAACAAACGCAAAUGCUAAUGCCUUAAAUUCCUAAUCAUGUUUUAGCAUUUGUAAUGGGUGCUCAUUCAACUAAUGGUUGACAAGCCUUGACUUAGCCCUUGAUUCUCGUGGUGCUAUAUAUAUUUGGAUCGGUAAAAAAUUGUAGUUCGAUUAUGCGUUGUAAUGCAUGAUCAGUAGCUACAGAGGUUAUGCGUUAUGCGAAAGAAAGGGCUCCAAUUCUUUGCAUUUGUGAAGAUCAAGAGCCAAUGGAGUUUUUGGUUGCUCUUACCAACCAGCAACCAUUGUUUGGGAAUUCUGAUAAGGGAUAGUCGAUGGAGUAGGAUGUUGAUGAAAGAAGAAAGAUUGAUGAUGAUACGGAGACGGAGUGGUGAACACAACUUAUUACCCGCCACCAACAUUUCUGUUUGACGGUAGGUUAACGGAAAUUAACUGUGUUAAUAGUGAAGGGAGGUGAUUGUGUAUUACAAAAAAACUUAAGGGAGGUUAGUGUAUGUUUUUAAACUAAAGGGGGUGUUGGUGUCAUUUCAACAUAUCUUAAGGGAGGUGAUUGUAAUUUUCCCUAACAUUAAAUAUAUCUAUUAACAAAUGACAAUUCACCAUUAAAAAAAAACACAAAGGACAAUUUGGUAAAACAUACAUACACUAUGACAACUUUAUUACUUCACCCAAUUUUUUUAAUACUCCUGAUUUUUUUAAAUUAGUCUUAUAAAAAGUGAUGGUGGAAGUAUAAGCUACGAGAGAAAUUACGGGUGCAUUUACUAUUUUUCCAUACAUACCUCUUAUUAAGUAUAAGGUCAUGCUAACAUACACCUGCACAUGUUAAGGUAUCUACAUAAAAAAAAAAGUAUUAAUUGAGAAAAAUUAAAUUUCAAUCUUUUGUAAAAUAAAUUGACACAUUUUCCGAUAUAAAAUUUCUAUCUUUAGUACCUUAACAUGUGCCUUUGUGUUAGCAUUUCCCUAAAGUAUAACUAAUUUAUCUUGGAGUAUAAAAGCUAAAGAUAGACACACUAAUAUACAAAGGGCAUUUUAGGAAAAUCAAUCUGCACAAUAGACACAUUAAAUUCAUUAAGCGAAAAAAGAAAAAGGUCGUUAUACGUAGGGAGGAGGGAGUACGUGUUUCAUAACAAAAGUCAUAUACUCCAUUAAGGGUGUUUGCGGUGCAGUUUGAAUCAAUUUUAAAGCAAAAAAUCUUUCAAUUCAAAGAUAAUAUUAUAUGUUGUUCGGUUCAAUUUUCAAUGACUAAUUUAAGAAAAUCGAUCUGAUCUAAUUUAAUGCGAUUUAUUUUGGAUUAGUUUUUGGAAAAAUGAUUAUAAAUGUACAAUAAAAUAAUCGGUUUGAUGCAAUGUAUAAUAUAUAAUAUGUUGGAACAAAGGUUCAACUUUUGUGUUAAUUAAGAGAAUAGAGAGAAAAGAGAAUAAAUUAGAGAGAUUUCUAUGAAGGAAAAUUAGAGUAGUAUAUUGCUUUUGAAAUCUUUGAUUGUUUGCUACAUUGUGCAUAUGUGAGAGACUAUGCUAUUUAUAUAGCAAUACUUGUUACACAAGUUACUUCAUUUACAAACUAUCUCAUAACAACUUUUUUAACUAACUAAACUACUCCAACAAACUGAAUUACACUUCUACCACAAUAUACUGUUUAUAAUCGGUUUGAUGCACGAUAAACUUCGUUUUAUUUAUUUUGUCGGAAUAUAAUAAUCGUUACAUUGAAUGCAUGAGACUAAAGUAUUCGUAUAGUUUUUACACCAAGUUUCCCAAGCUUUUUCUUUUUUCUACAAAAAAUAUAGUCUGGGGAAAGAGUAUAUACUCGUAAAAGAAGAUAUAUGCUUAUUUGAAGAAGGAUCUCCUGCGGUCCGUUUUGGAUUUAGUAUAUGAUGAAUAUGUGACAGGUUUGCUUUAUUCAAAAAAAAAAAAAAGUGACAGGUUUGCUAAUAAAUUACGUCAUUGUCCAUUUGCUGUUAGAAAGACGAAGAAUUAACAUAUUUUUUUGACAGAGAAAGGCAAUGAAAUUAAUCAUAUUGGUCGCGGUCCUUUACCUAUUCUUGUGGACUCUAUUUUGCCACAUUUUCCCUCCCAUAUGUUUCCUCCUCCAAGAACACGUUAGGUAGGAUAUGUGGUAUUUAAUGGUGUUUUAAAAACCGAACCAAUCUAAAUUUAAAAUUGUAAAAAAUCGUGCUUGAUUUAGGUGUAUUUGACCUAAUUUUUCACUCAGCCGUUAGGUUUGGUUUGCGGUUUUUGUCUUAUCCAUCGAACUAACUUUAUAUAUACAAUCAACUUUUUUUUUCUUUCUUUUACCAAUUAACUUUAGGGUUAAUUAAGUUUUUGGUCCCUAUAAAUAUCUACAGUUUUGUUUUUAGUCCCAAUAAAAAUAAAUCACACUUUUAGUCCCUAAGAAAUUUUCUGUUAGUGUUUUUGUCCCUGUUAAAUUAAAAUUUGUUUAAUUAUACUUAAACUUCUAAAAUUUUGAAAGAUUUUUUACAUACAUGUUCAUAACAUCAUAAGACACUCUUUUAUAAAAUAAAAAAAAUAAAAAAAAAUUAGUUUUUUAACAUGUAAUGAAUUAAAUAUGAUGAAUUUUUCUAAAAGCCAAAAUUUCAAGAUUAUAUUAAUGAAAAUUUGGACCUAAUAAUAAAAUUUUAAGUUACUUUUUUGCAGAGGAACUUUGUAUAAUAUUCUAAGUAAGUAUGUGAAAAAUAUGUUACAAAUUUAAAAGUUUAAGCACAAUUAAGCAAAUUUUAAUUUUACAAGGACUAAAAGUAUGUGUUGGUCCCUGUUAAAUUGAAAUUUGUUUAAUUAUACUUAAACUUUUAUAUUUUUAAAUGAUUUUUAACAGACAUGUUAAGAACAUUAUAAUAAUCUCUUUUAUAAAAAAUUAGAAUUUUUUAACAUGUAAUGAAUUAAAUAUAAUUUUUUUAAAACGCCAAAAAUUCAAGAUAAAACUAACGAAAAUUUGGACCUAAAAAUAAAAUUUUGAGCUAAUUUAUUGUGGCUGAACCUUUUAUAAUGUUUUAAACAAGUAUGUAAAAAAAUCAUUAAAAAAUUUAAAAUUUUAAGCAUAAUUAAACAAAUUUUAAUUUAACAGGGACUAAAAACACAAACAGAAAAUUUUAUAGGGACUAAAAAGUGUGAUUUAUUUUUAUAAGGACUAAAAACAAAACUGCAGAUAUUUAUAGGGACCAAAAACUUAAUUAACCCUUAACUUUAUACAUACCAUGUAAUCGUUUUCAAUCCAUUAAAAGUAUUUAAAUUAUUUCUCGAUUGUCUCUCCAACUCGACUGCCUCUCCUUAGUGACUCUAUCCUAGAGGCUAAUAUAAUCAAAAUAGGUCAUUCUAACAAAUUAGUUAAUUGUUGCCGCUAAUAUAAUCAAAAUUGUUGACAUAUUUUUUAAAUUGUGUGUUCUCUCGUAAAAAAAAAUGAAUCAGCCCAAACCUCGUUGGUUUGAUUUAGUUUGUUAUUCUUUUAAAUUGUCAAUCAAAUUACAUGUUUUUUUUAGAGAAAUGAUAUUUGAACAUCCAUUUUGUGACAACUUACUUUCUCUCUUAUACUCACAUUAUUUUUUACUUUAUCUCUCUAUUGCUUUGAUUUUCAUGCAAAUACAUACUUUUUCUUUAUAAAUUAUGGUUGUUUCAUAAGUUGUCAAUCAAAUAAUUUUCAAAUAACACUCCUCUUUUUUUUUAUUUUUUUAUUAUAAUGAUAAAAUAACUUUUAAUUUAAAAUCGAAUCAAAGUAUAUCACGAACACCUCUCGUAUUCAAUAGAAAUUGGGAGGAGGAGCAACACUUACUAGACAGAUGUUCAGAAAUUUUCUUCGAUUUAAUUGUAUAUCGAAGAAGAGCUGAAGUAAGUAAUAUAGCAUCUUUGUUCUAAAUUUGCAAUAAAAAUAUAUUUUAAAAUGGAUGCGUUUUAAAUUUUAGGGUUAAAUAUGUUUUUAGUCCCUAUAAAUAUGUCAACUUUUCGUUUUAGUAUCUUUAAAAUUUUCCUUCAACUUUUAGUCCCUAUAAAAUUUUCAAUCUUCACUUUUGGUCCCUCUUUUAAAGUAAACUCAUAUCUAGAAUUCAUAGUUUUUAAUAAAAUUUUCUAUAAAAAUUCAAAAUAUUAUAAGAAUCAUUUCAAAAAAAAAUUAGAAUUUUUUAAAAAAUCAUGAAUUUAAUAUGAAUUUUUAUAUUUUUUUACGGUUAAAAAUUCAUAUUUAAUUUGUGUUUUGUUAAAAAAUUCUAAUUUUUUUUAAGAAUUUAUUUUAGAAUAUUUUACACAUUUCUGUACAAUUUUAUUAAAAAGUACAAAAAUUAAAUUAAAAAUAGGGACCAAAAGUAGUAAUUGAAAAUUUCUUAGUCUUUGCAAUAACAUACAUUUAAUAAAUUUCUCAUUCAUCUCAAGGGACAGUUUAUAUAUUUUGCUGCCUUCACUCAACCAAGUCCAAAGAUAGUAGAAAAAAUUGAAGUUGCUGCGCUUCUAUCUCCAAUACCACACUUGGAUCAUGUUAGUGCACCUCUGGUGCUUAGAUUGGUCAAGAUGUAAAUUGAUCAGGUACUUUUUUUCUGCUUUCUAUUGAUUUCCACGGUUGAAUUAGUAGCUAAUUAAUACGCAAAUUAUUACUGGUUUUAUCCAGGUGAUUCUGAGUUUCUUCUGCAUAUGUUUAUUCAUCCAAGUAUUUCUAGUCUAGAAAAUGUUCACUUUACUGUGAUACAUGUCUAAGUUGCAGUGACUCAAUGUCAUCCAUUUACACGUUCAUGUCUCUCAACAAUGGUGUUAAUUUUGUGUAGAUUACAUAAAAAUACUCUUGGUAAAUAUAUUCCACUAUCAGCAGUGCUUAUGUUGUGUAUGGCAUGCUAUAUCUUACCAAAGACCUUAUAUCUUUACAAAGAGCAAUGGUAGGUUGACCACCCCAUGUGGCAUACACCCCUUGUACCAGCAGAUGGGUGGAAUAAAAUUCGGUCACUCAUCAAAUAUAUCGAAUAAUUUCAAAGAGACUGCCUUUUUAACUUCAUCUAGAAAUUGCUGAACGUACUUUUAAAGUUUUGAUAUCUUGAAAGCAAUGAUCAUGUUGACUUCAUUUUAAGCUUGCAAGCAAAACAAGAUCUAUAUGACCCUAUUAUCAGUUUUUUCAAGUCGUUUGGGCAAUUUAGUAGUAUUUAAAGCUUGCUUCCUUCUACUAAGAUGAAUGUAAUAUAACAAUAUAUAGGCCCAUGUAUUAUAUUUACCCAUAUUGUCAUGUUAAAACAUUAAACAUACAGUGGAGUCUGUCUACUUUGAUCUUCUAUUUAUAAAUAUGGUGAUAACAGAUCCCACUGAAUUGGCUUAAAAUCUCUUAGGUAUUAGUAUUUAAUUAGUCUUUUGUUUCAAAUUGUUAUUCUAUUGGAACCAUAGAUUCCUUUUGUUCUUUCUAUUCUCAGUUCUUCUCUAUAAAUCUAUAUAUUGUUAACAAAAUUCUCUGUAGAAUGGUAUUAAAACAGAAGAUAUAAAUUUAUCAUUGCAAUCACACUCUAGAACAUAAAGGAAAGUUUAUAGAGACAAGAAUAGUAAUUGAAGUGACUGUAAACUAUCUGACAUUCAAAAUCAGCAGGAUCGAUAGGUUUGGUAAAUCAUACAUAUAACUAGCUUGCAGCACACACUAAAGGAAUAACCAUCCACACCAGAUGUGGUUUAUCUUGAAAACUAUGGUCAUGUUGAGGCUCUGACCGACAUCUUGAUGCAUUUAUCCAAGACAUUAAGAAACAUUGCAUUGUUAACAUUCAGACGAUGUAAUAUCAUUCAUUUCAUUGUCCUUGUUGCACGUUCAAAACAUCUAUGCAGUUACAUUUGUGUGUUAGCAGUUGUGUUGUGUUUUAAGAAUUGUAAUAAAUUGGCAAGUUAUGGAAAUGGGGUCAUUUGGUUAUUUUGGAAGGGAAUAUCUUGUAAAUUUACUAGUGUCAGCGUACUUUACUGGCUAGUUUCUCAGGAACUAAUCAUGGUUACAUGUAUGAUUCCCUUCCUAAUGCUUGUGCCUGAUAGAUGGUUCUAUGUCCAGAUAUUCUUUGUUCUUAAUUUUCAGGUUCUGCCAUAGUAGCGAGAAAACUAGGAAUUGAGUCGAAGUAUUUGAACAAACUUAUCGACACCAAUAACAAUCAAUCAAGCUCUCUUUGACUGCUGCAUUCCUGUGUGCGUUUUUGGUUUCCUUUUUCUUGGUUCGCAUCAUCAUUUUUUAUCACCUUCAUAUUUUGUUUUCAGUUGUACCUUUGUCUCAACCCCAUCCUAUCAAGUCGAUAAGAAGUGAUAAUGUUGUCACUUGCAGGUAGAAUAAAUCGACCAGAUCCAAGAGUAUAGUCGUCUCCUAAGUAAUUAUAAGUGACUGACAUUAUUUCGGCCAGUGAGUUUUUACUUAGGUAACUCAGCCUUGUAAUUGUUACUACUCCUCAAACCAAUUUUAAUGGUGUUAUCAGAUCUUUGAGAAGCUUGGAUCAAAGCUUAUUUGAUUUUCUAAAUAGUUAUAAAUACUGUCCAUUCCCUGUGGAUCAAAGCUAGCAUAUAUCUGCUGAUUAUUCUUGAAUGACCUACUUAUAAUUCCAUGAUAAUAUCUUCUUGUUGAUUAAGAGCAUUAACCAUAUAUAUAAAAAAUAAAAUAAAAAAUCAAUGACAUGUGGUCUAACAACUUCUAAAAGAAGACCUGUGCUCUAUUUUAUUGGAAAAAAGGACAACAAAAUUUACCAUAUUACACCUUGUGAAUGUUUACAACACCACGUUUUUUAAUGUCUUCCAUAAAUGCAUCAAGAUUCCAAUCAGAGGAUCCACCAACGGCCACUGCUUCCUCUGCCUCCUUCUUCCACUUCAUUGCAUUUUUCUUCAACUCCUCUGCUUUUUCCCCUGUUGUUGCUUCCAAUAAGCACUUCUUCACCUCAUCUCUUGUUACCAACUUGUUUUCCAUAAGACUAUAACCCAAUCUAAUCCCUACACCAAAAACAUCUAUCAAAAACUUUGCAUUUGUAAGGUGGUCACCAAAUGCUGGAAAUGCCAACACUGGAACUCCUGAAGCAAUUGCUUCCAUCGUUGAAUUCCAGCCACAAUGUGUCACGAAACAUGCCACCGAAGGAUGAUCAAGUACUUCCUCUUGUGGACUCCACUUCACCACUUUUCCUCACUCACUUGUUUCCUCCAAGAACCCAUCAGGCAAAUGAUCAUGGUGUUUUUUCGCCCACAAAAAUUUGACUUUAGAAUUUAAUAACCCAAAUGCAAUUUCAUGAGAUGUAAACAACAGAACCUGUUGGCUUUGUGUGUAGCCACUCUAUAAUACUACAAUCAUCAUCGCUCUUAACAAAAUCACCUCGAAUAUUGCUUGCUGCUUUUAUUGUUGGGUUCUUGAACAGAGGACCAAUGGGUCUAAUGAGGACUGAUUUUUUGGAAAGAUAAUCGAUGAAAUCAUGCUCUAGUUCUUCAUAGGUAUCCGCUAAUACACAAAAUAUUUUGGACAAGUUAUUCAUAUGUGACGUGAUGAGUGUCCCUAGAAUUGGAUAGGGAUUAAAAGGAUGUGUUAAAUCUGGGAUUUCAUUGUAUUUAAGGACUAUAAAAGGCAAAUGAACAUCAAUAUAAGGUUCUGUUUCUGAAGGAAAAGGUACAAGUUUGUGGACAUAGUUAUAGUAAGUGGCGAAAACAGCACUAGAAUUAUUCCAUGAUAAAGCAGAAGGAAUGUCAUGUUCAAAAGCUACAUCGCAAACCCAUGGAAGAAAAGGAUUGUAUAUGAUACAUGAAAUUGGUUUACUUGAAUCAGCAUGAUUCUUGAUCAUUUUAGAAAAAAAAACUGCCUCCCAACAAGCUCAAGCUCUGCAUGGUCAAUGGAACCAUCAUCUAGUAAACAAUGAUCAAAGAACUCGAAAGUGAGGCAACCAUCGCCUAUUGGAGUUGCUAAUUUGUUGGUGAUUCGCAUGUCUUUGCCUGCUUUCUCUGUUGUAGUAAAGAUGACAGAGGCACCCUUUGCAGCAAGACAUUUUCCUAGUCUAAGAAGAGGGUUUAUGUGUCCUUGUGCUGGAAAAGAAACAAGUAGGAUAUGAAGGGGAACUUCGGAUCCCAUUUUUCCUUUUCUUUUUCACAGUUGGAGAAAUGUAUGGCAGGAUAAAUAACCUGGGGCAGAGGCAUGAGCCCUUGCCAUGUUUUUCAUAUGGCAUGGAGUACAUAUGUAGUGUAAGAUUAGAGUUCCUCUUACAUGUGUAAAUGGCCUCUCGAAUUUUCCAAGACAUGUGUAUAUGACCUUGGGAUAUGGUUUUCAACACAAUGAUUUGAGCAUCUACAUGUAUAACGGGAAAUGUGUUUUUUUAAACAAUUAGUAUUUACACUUCCUAAUGAAAUAUAGACUAAAACUAGUUCCCUACAAAUAAAAUAAACUAAAACUGGUUUGUAUAACGAGGAGUUUUUUUAAUUAAAUUAAAAAGAUAAUAUUUUCUACUUCCUAUCUAAACUAAAACUCGCUAACAUAAUGAUGUGCUAGUAUUAGGAACUAUAAGAACACUUAGAAAGAUACAAUGUCAUUGCAAUUUGAAUACUUAAGUUUAAGACCACUACCCAAACAACCAAGAAAAUAAAAGCAGGUUGAAUACUUCCCGUAUGCACUAUUAUACCCAAAAAAAAAAAAAAAUUGCAUCACAUGGACAGAAUGAUUUGAGUAAAAUACGCAGUCUCAUAUUGUGCAAACACGACACCAAUUUUGACAGCCACUUCUCCAAAAAUGAAAAGCAUUUACAUUAUUUUUUGAAACGGUCAAUGUUCGUAUGUUAUGUUAAUGGUUAAUUUGUUAGUUUUUGAUGAAGGUGGGAAGCGGACCUGAAAUCACCCUUAUCAAUCCACAUGUUACCUCUUUCACCACAGCCACCAAACCAAUCAUAUCAUAUAAUUGUAAACACAAAUUGUUCACUAGGUAAUUAGGAUUUUUGCUUUACAUCAAUAUUACUUUUAUAACUAUGAAACAAAGUUACGAUAAAAUAACAGAAAUGCCUCAAUAAUUAAUGAUAUAUGCUAACAGUAUGGUAAUGGCAAAGAAAAUAGUAUAUAAAGGUACAGAAGUAAUAACCUUCAUAUCAGUGGUGCACUCCAUCCUUUCUACAUCUUCACUGAGAAUUUUUAACCUUUUUCCUCUAUCAUUCAAUGGUUUGGAAUCUAUUUUUCCAAACAAUGGUUUUAACUUCAACCAAUCAAUUAGUAGCAAACUAAGACAGUAAAUACUUCUGUGGGAUUUAUCAUCAUCAUAUUUACAGACACAAGAUCAAAGUGGACGGACUCCACUGUAUGUUUAAUGAAUCUAUAAAUAGUUAUAUUACAUUCAUCGUAAUGGAAGGAAGCAAGUUUUAAAUACUACUAAAUUUCCCCAUUGACUUGAAGAAACUGAUGAUAGGGUCAUAAAGAUCUUGUUUUGCUUGCAAGCUUAAAAUGAAGUCAAUGUGACCAUAGUUUUCAAGAUAAACCACCUCAGGUGUGGAUGGCAGUUCCUUGAGUGUGUGCUGGAAAUCAGUUACAUCUGCUAAAGCAUCGUUUCCCCCAUAAGCCAUCAACAAAGGCAAUGAUCUGGGUAUGCGGCUAAGGUCAAAUUUUGGUGGUUUGAAAUUGCCAUACUCUAUCAGAUUUUUAAGCUUUCCAUAAUCGUACUUGGAGAAGGUGCCUUUGCGGAUCACUGGAGAACAUAUGAUGAGGUCAUCAGAGACAUAACCAUUAACAAGAAUAAUAGCACGUCAAUACUGAUUUCUAAACCAUCAUACACAAAAUGAAAGCUGGCUAGCCAAAGCAAAUAACACAGUAAAAGUGGAUAACCAAACUCCAAAUGUCCUUCUAGCAAUUUAUGAAUAGAGUUUAAAAGACAGUCUGGUGGAAAUAAUUAGGUAUUCAAUGAACAGAAGAAUUUUGUUCCACUUCCACCCAUAUGCUGAUUCAUCAACCAGUAAUUAAUGGCAAUUACUAACUAGUAACUUAUCUUCGUACAAAUAUGGUCCUUGGCAAGAUAAAGCAUGUCAUAAACAACAUAAGCAUACAUAUCAUGCUGAUAAUGAAAUAUAUUUACCAAGAGAAAAAGAAACUACAGCGGAGCAUGUUUAGAUAAUCUACUGGCAAGUUUGUACCUAGAAAUGACAUUAUAGGAAAUCAAUUGAUACAUCCUCCUCUCCUAAACACAUAGUUGCAAGGAUUUAAAAGAUAUGCAUUGUCGGUGUAAAUCAGUUUUAUUUGACAUUCAAUAAAUUUACUAUUUGGCCACAUCACCCCAUUUUAAUAACUGCAUUUUGAAAUUGACGGAAUGACAUGGAAAAAAAGAGACCUCUCAUUGGAUGUUAGUGUAAAACUAAUUACUAAGGUGGACAUGUAGUAGACGAUAAUAGAAUAAGCAAACUGGUACUAAGGUUGUCAUGUAGAAUAGAAAAUGUAAAACUUUGUCUUUAAAGUUCAGACCUACUGAACAUUAUUACUUCCCCCAGCCCCCGUCCCUACAAAGUCCAAUUUAAGGCUGCCUCAUAUCAUACAAACGUUAUAACAUUAUCAAACAUGAUCAAAGGUAAAUUUGUGAUGGUAACAAUCAGUAGUAGAAUUCAUAAAUAUGAGCAACAACAUCAAACUACUAUAGCUAUCUGUACCACUGCUAAUUGAAAACAGCCCCAGUGAAUAGUCAGAAAAGUCACAAAAAUUCUCACAUAAAGAAACCAAUUAAAGAUGACAGAAUAUGGAACAUACUCUGGAAAAGGUGGUUCAAGUUUUUGGAGGAUGAUGGGUGAGGUUCUUGUUCAAGAUAAUAAGCCACGCGUGACUCGUUGAAGCAACAAUUCUUUCCUGUAAUUUAAUUUAAUGUCAUGAGAAGAAGCAGUAACAAAAAAAGAAAGCAAAACAAGAAAUAUUGCAUAAUUAUUGAUACAUGCAGAAUUGCCAAAAGGAUUCCUAAGUUAUUGAUUCAAAUGAGAGAGGAAGGUUUGUGAAUCAUGCUUAGGCAACCUAUGAAGCACGGACACCUCUAGGACUAGGCGUGUCGCGGUGUCCGACACUCCCAUGACACUCGUAUGACACGCGUCGGACAACUAAGACCGGUGUCCUAAAUAAAAUUGUUUUUUUCUUUGCUUCGACACUCCUAGACCGGUGUCCGACACCUAUAACACUCACACGAGCCAUGUCAGACAACUCAAACAAAUGUCUGAAACAUUUUUUUUCUCUUGGUUCUACACACCGUAGAUACAAGAGUUGCAUAUGUGUUGAGAAAUGUUGAUCAAUUACGGGGUUAUAGAAAUUAAAGUUGAUUACAACGUUUUUAGCUUUUUUGAUAGUAGAAGAAUAAAUAAAGGUCAAAUACUAUGGUAUCUUGUUUUAGAACUUUUUUCAAUGAAAUAAACUGCUCAAGUUAAAUUCUUAUGUAUGAAUUUUGAUUUUCGUUUUAGAGAUAAAUAAAUUAAUAUAUGUGUAGCGGUGAUGGUGUCCUAUAUUUUUUACAUCAAUAAUAGGAUCUUGUGCACAAUUCAGAUCAGAGAGGGUGAGUAGGACCGCAAAAUCGUAAGAUUUUUUACUUUUAAAUCUAGAUCAUGAUCAAGACAAUGUGUUCGUAAUUGCAAUGGCAUUCAUGAAAGACAAAAGGCAUUAUGAGAAGAGUAUAAUUUAGAUUGGAAAGUUAAGCACUAUAAAAACAAAAAAAUGGAAUUCUACAAAGACUAGCAUGAUGUGAACUCAGUCAACUCCUUCUAAACACAGACAUACAUACAGAGCUAGUGUGAGAGACAUGAACCUGUAAUGGAUGACAGCAUGUCACUGCAACUUAGACGAGUAUCACAUAAGGAAAUCAAGAGAUUGGUUUCCCAAUCGCUGAAAAUGAGUUAAGAAAAAUACCCCGUUAAAAUUUGGUAAGCUGGAAAUACAUGGAUCAACAUAUGCAAAAGAAAAGGGGAAAAACAGGACAGAACGAAAACUGGAACCUUUUGAAAUUCAGCUGAUGAACACCCAUUGUAGAAAUCAUCUGAACAAAAACAGCAAUCAUUUUCAUAUUACAUAUCAACUUUAACAGUUAAAGAAAACAGAAACUAUAAAGCAACAACAAAUACCUGAUCAAUGUGCAUCUUUUCCAUUCUUAGUACCAAAGGUGCACUAAUAUGAUCCAAGUAUGAAAUUGGAGACAGAAGAGCUGCAGCUUCAACCUUUUUUACUAUAUCCGGUUGAGUGAAGGCAGCAAAAGAUAUAAUUGUCCCCUAAGAUGGAUAAGAUGUUUCUAAAAUGUAAGCUAUGGAAAAUGCUGGUAGAAUGUGAAAAGGAUGAUUUACAGGAAGCAUAAAUACCUGUGAAUGCCCAACUACAAAUAACUUUGAGUUUGUCACUGAAUUAAUAUAAUUGAUCAUUUCCGCAAGAUCAUACAGGGCUAAUUCUUGCCAGCUCCAAUCCCAAAAAUGCUACAAAAGGACAAAUGCUAAAUUAGUCAUGCUCAUCAGUUUUAUUUUGGUAAAAAUGAGGGGCCAAAGCACAAGUCACAUCGUAUCACUUUAGUCAUGUUACAACAAACAUGUAAAGUGUAUAAAAAAACUCUGACUAGAAUUCUUCGACAAUGGUAGAUAUUAAUAAUAUAAAAACGUUUGAACCUUAUCAAUAUACAGCUAAAAAUGACAUAAUGAACCAACUGCUCAAGAUCAAACAAUAGCAAUGAUCUACCGAAUAAAGCAUUUCUUCUUUGUCCAUUCUGUUCUCCCUUUUUGCGAUCAUCAUAAGUAAUUCUUAUAAUAUCAGAGGUAAUAAUGAUGAUCUACCGAAUGAAGCAUUCCUUCUUUGUCCAUUCUGUUCAACCUUUUCAAACUAGUGCUGAAAAUCAGCAGAGUCUAUACUAAAAUACUUCAAUAGUGCUAAUUAAUAUAAGUGAAAAAAGUUGGUGAAAACAUUCAGAGGUGCCGUGUCAAAACUCAAAAAUAUAAGAUCACAUACUAGCUUUCUCUAGUGUGACCUCAUUUCUAUUAGCAAAUGGCAAUUGUUUCCCUUAAUAAAUUUAGAACUUGUAGUAUAAAUAUGAGUGAUGAUAUCUGUACAACUAUUUUGUGACAACUUUUGGGACAACCUUUUUUUCUCUUCUUUUGGGACAAAAACAAUAGAGAUAAAGAGGGGAAGAGAGAGAGAGAGAGAGAGUUGUCUCAAAAUUUGUCCCAAAAUGGUUGUACAAAUAUCAUUUCUCUAAAAAUAUUUUCAAACAUUACCAAAUGAAAGUUUAAUUGUUGAUUUCAUAACUUUAAAAUUUCAGCAAUGAAGUUUCAAAUUCAUUUUGCAAUUUUGUGGAAAAAGAAGAAAACUAAUUCAAUAUUUCUCCCAUAUGUUACAAUUGAAGAAAAAAAAAAACUAUCACACAUCUGCCACUCAGUGAGUUUUAUAACAUGAAGGAUAAAGCAAACUGCUCACCUUAUUCUUCUCUGAUAAAGAUUUAUGCCCAUGGCUCCAACGUGUUCCACGCACAUUUCCUACCCAAACAUCAAAACCUUGAUCGGCAAGGAUGAAGCCCAAUGACUGUUCUGGUGUAUUUAGAAACCAUGCAUCACCUGCCUGAUUGUAUCAAAUUGCACAACAAAAGACAAAAAACAAUGUUGAGAUUCAGUCAAUUAGUUUCAAACUAUAAAAGGAAUUUCACAAUUCACACUAAAAAGAGUUAAAAACUCCACUUCCCCUAAAAAAUGACAGAAUAUAGUACAAAUUAUUGCAUACAAAGUGAAUUUUGAACACCAAUUCAAACACUGUCCAGAACUCUGUAAAUAUUAGUAGUGUCAAAUUGAUUUUGAAUUAAUUGAUUUGUAAAAUUGAUUCUAGUCAAAGGUAAAAUGAAUGGAAAGUGAUUUAUGUUUGGAUACAUUCAUGUAAAGUGGGUUUAACGAUAAAUUCAAUGGUAAAAAUCAAUUAUAGAGACAAAAGCUUCAAAUUCUAGGCUGAAGUUAGAAUCAAUUAUGAGGCAAAACCAAUUCUACUUGAGAACAUCCAAACAUGUCAUAGUCAAAUUCUUCACCUUGAGAAUCAAUUUUGUACCCUCCAAAAGUAGAUCCAAACAUACACUCAAGGGAGCUAGUUAAAAAAUCUUGAAACAUCCCACAUUGAAAUAGCAAGAUAUCAAUGCCUUAUUAUACUUAUACACUAUGAAGCACAUACACACACAUGGACACUGACAUGUGGACACCUAUAAUAAUUUGAGAAAAUAACGUAACUCACAUGUGUUGAUGUCAGACAUCGGACACAUCUUAUAUUAGAAGUGUCGGUGCUACAAAGAUUAUUAUAUAAAAUUAAAAAAAUUAAGAGCAGACAAUGAAGUAAGUUAGUGCUAACCAUGAAGAGGCCAUGGAGAAGCAGAACUGGAGGACCUCGUUGUUGUUGUUGAGCAGAAUAACGAAUACGCGCAGAAGAAGAAGAAGAAGACACGCGCUGAAGACCUAACAAGAAACCAUCCUUUGUUUCAAUCUGAAAGUAAUACAAAAAUUAAAAGCGCCAAUUAACAAGAAAACAGAAAGAUAUGAAUUAGAAAAAGGAUAAUAUUGAAGAAAAGUAGUAAAUGUAUACCACAAAUUCGGAGCAAGGGUAACCGGCUGGAAGAAUGAGUUCAUCACAGAGAGUUGGUUGUUGUUUGGGGGGUGCGCUGCCGCCGUCGAAAGAGUGAGCGAUGAUUCCGAAGGAUAAGAGUAUGGCAAUUGUCAUCAACCAAACACUCCCCAUCCCCCAAGUUCUCUUUGAUGAUGAUGAUGGUGGCAACACUCAUCAUUUGUAAUCUAAUUUAUACUAUCGGGUUCGAUAGAUUAUCCAUCGCUCCAACGCGCCACAAUUGGCGCGUGUUCUGUAAAGCUACUAACUGUUUACUGUUAGGUGGUUGUUAUCGUUUUGCUUGCUCAGAUCUAUAUUUUACUUUGGGGUUACGUUUGGAUGUUCUGAUAGGAAAAGAAGGAAAAAUGUCUUCAAAUGAAAAGUUUAAUUUUUCGUGUUAAAACCAAAUUUGUUUUAGAUGUUGGUAAAAAUUAGUCAUUUUAUUUAUUUAUUUUUGGUAACGUCAUUUUAUUUAUUUGAAACAAUGCUAAAAAUUUUGUUAAUCUGUCUGUUUAUUUAUUCUUUUCAUAAUAAAAAUUAUAUUAUUUAUUUGAAACAAUGCUAAAAAUUUUGUUAAUCUGUCUGUUUAUUUAUUCUUUUCAUAAUAAAAAUUAUAUUAUUUAUUUGAAACAAUGCUAAAAAUUUUGUUAAUCUGUCUGUUUAUUUAUUCUUUUCAUAAUAAAAAUUAUAUUAUUUAUUUGAAACAAUGCUAAAAAAUUAAAUGAAUAGAGUACUACCAACACAAAAUGAGUCUACCAUGAAACUAUACUUUUUUACAACAUGUGAAUUAAGUUUAAAUUUUGGAAGUGUAUACUCCCUCUCUCUCGCUAAUUAUAAUCAAAUUAACUUUUUAGGUUCAUUCAAUCAAUGAUGUAUGUGGUCUAUAAUAUAAAUCAAAUACAUCAUUAACUGAAUGAACCUAAAAAGUCAAAUUGACUUAUAAUUAAGAACGGAAGGAGUAUGUAUUUUGUAUUUGAUAUGUCUUGAAUAUGAUUAUCGAGAGAAUUUAAAGGAAAUAAAAAAUAAUUGGAGUACUAUUUUGAAUGAUGCUUAACAUGAAGUAAUGAAAUCAAAGUUAUUUGAUUAAAUUGUAUUUACUCAAUAUUUUAUCCAAUAUUAUUGGAUACUUUUAUUGAGAAAAAUUAGUUUAUUAUAGAGUAGUAUGAUUUAAUUAUAGACCUAAAUGUAUAUCUAAAUGGUCAAAGAAAUACGAUUAGUAAUUUAGUAUAAUUAUAGAUUAGUAUGAUUAAUAUGAUUUAAUUACAUGAGAAAAGGAAAGAAAGAAAAGGACUACAUCCAUACAAAAGACCGAUAAGAGCAUCAACUAAGGUUGAGGAUAAUCUACAAGAGGCUCUUGAAGCAAAAUCAAAUGACAUGAGUUACUAGCUCACAUUUUUGUUAGAACACCCACACAGCACAUUCACUUCACAAAUGAAACUGAGACGGUCUCCCUUAACAAGUUGAACCACGUGUAACAAACCCAAAAAAAACACUCGCAAUUUGUUUGUAAUGAUGUAAUUGGGUAGAAUGGAAUGUGAUAUGUUCGGUUAGAACGGUUGAGUCGCAACGGUGGAAAAGAAUGUUCCGAUGAUCGGGAACAGCUUCUGGUAUGGUGGCGAUGAGUCUUCUGCGGUAGAACGAAAGGUGCCUGCAGGCACGUCAGCACUCUGACGCUCAAGUCAGUAAUGGAACUGAAAGAGAGGAUGUAAGAAGUGUUGUGUACCUUGAGGGUGAAACAAGUUCACCCUUAUAUAGGCGGGCUCGUGGCAUAACCGUCUCCGUGUUAUGCGGCGUGUGAUUAGGAGCAUGGAAAGACAAGUGUAGCGUGAUCCCGACGAGGAGGCGUGCUCCGGUGUGACACGGUGCAGGCAAGUUGGUGUGCUCCCUUAAAUGUGUAGCCUUAAGGCGGCGUAUUAUUGUACAUAUUUAGCCGUGUGAGUCGUCUUGUGACCGGUCCAUAACAUAAUGAAAAAUAAAAUGGUAGAUUAUAAGUUUUCAUUUUUUGUAUAAUCGAGUUGGACAUGAUGAGAUCCAUGCCAUCUAAGUUUUGGUGUAAUGUAUUUUUAUUUUUUUUGGUCAGAUUGGUGUAAUGUAUUCUAAUUCUAUAUAGUAUAUAUUUUAUUGUUUAUAUAUGAAUAAAUAUGUAAUAAAAAGUUAUAAUAUAAAUAUUUUAUUGAUACCUUCAAUCCACUUUGCAAACAAUAUAAUAAAUAUUUUGUUGAUAAAAAAAAUAUUGUAAUAUUCAAGACGCCUUUUUAUUUUAUUUUAUUUUGGGUUGUCCAAAACGCCUCCUUAAUUUCCUCUAUUUUCAUCCAUGCAUUUAAUUUCCCCUAAAACGUCCCUAAUCACUUCAAACACACUAAAAAAAAUACCUCGUGAACGGGAUGAGUUUGUUUCAUGUACUGUAUUUUUAAUGCACAUUCAAAACAGUUGUUGGAGGAAGUUUCAUUGGACACAAGUGGACAAUGCAUACAUAGUUGCUAGUAGAAAUGGUUUCGGCCUUGCUCUGGGUCAAACAUGAAUUUUCCCUAAUUAAGUUAUUUAUUUUUAAUUAAAUAAAUAAGUGGUAAUUACCCACUAAGUGCACAUAGUGGUAAUUAUCCAUUAAUUAGAAAAUGGUCUUUAUUAUCCCCGUGAGCUUAGCUCAGUUGGUAGGGAUAUUGCAUUUUAUAUGCAGGGGCUGGGGUUCGAACCCCAGACACCCCACUUCUCCACAAUUAAACUGUGUGAGCUCUAGCCACUAGGCUACUUGACCAAAAAAAAAGAAAAUGGUCUUUAUUCUUUCCCUUAAAUUUAGUAACUGCCCAUUAUGAUUGAGUGGAGGAGCAGUUUUGUUUUGCACGUUCAGUAACUUCUUGAUGGCAGAAGUUAUAUAAAGGAGUGGAGUUCAUUUGUUUUGGUUCCCUAAGCCUAACAUCUCUAUUCAAAAGACUUACACCAUCAAAGUGAGAUUGUGGAAGGUUUAGAAGAGCCUCAACUUCUUCAAGCAGGAGCAAUGGCUGGAGGUAUGCCUUGAUCCUUUAAUUUAAGUUUCCGCUGUUUAAGUAGUUAUUUCUUUUGUUCUUUAUGAAAUAACUUACAAAACAGUGAAAAAAGUUUUUUUUUUUUUGUUAGGGUUCGAACCCAAACCUUACAUAUAUUAUGCAUUGUCCCUAACAAUUGAACUACGAGGACAGUGAAAAUAGAAUUAAGUUAAUGUAAACCGAUUCGUCUACUUUUCUUUUUGAGAGGGUUGUCUACUAUAUUUACAUGUCUUUUUGAGAGGUCAUCCUAACUGAUAAUAAAGGUACAUAUAAAUUGAUAAUAACAAAAAAAAGUUUAUCCUCCCUUCAAAAAAAAAAAGUUUAUCCUAUCUGUCUUUGGAGCACCGGUUAAGAAAACUAAAAAAGAAAAUUACUAUCAAACAAGAAUUUUUUUAUAAAUUGAUUACAGAAUUUUUAAUUCAAUAACUACCAUAUAAUUUUUCUUUUUAGUAUCUUUAAUCGGUGCUCGAGAGUACGAUCAUAUGGGCUAGCAUUUCCAAAAAGGAAUAUCGAUGGAAACAAAAAAAUCAACUAAAGGGAAAAGGAAUAUCGAUUGUAAAUUGAGUAUUCAAAACCUAUUAUAACAUCACAGUUUCAUAUACUUUUAAGACAUUUUUCUUUUUUGAGGGAAUAUACUUUUAAGACAUAUCAUCGAACAAUUUCCUUAAUCGUUACUACAUGAAAUGUUUUUGGGUCAUGUUAACUAACCAGUGUUUUAGGGACAUCAGUUAAAGUAUUUAAAAAAAAUAAAAUUAAAAAAGACAAUUUUUUUUACUUUUGAAAAAUUAAUUAUACAGUUUUUGAUGCAAAAAUUAUUGCAUUUGGAUUCUUAAACGAAGGACCAAUAGGUCUUAUGGUGAUUGAUUUUUUUGAAAUAUAAUCUAUGAAAUCAUGCUCUAGUUCUUCAUAGGUAUCCACUAAUACACAAAACACUUUAGACAAGUCCUUAAACUCUUCUAAGAUGAGUUUACCUAGAAAUGGAAAUGG
Molecule: long non-coding RNA, 54799 nt
Filed under: Medicago truncatula (barrel medic)
Lineage: Eukaryota; Viridiplantae; Streptophyta; Magnoliopsida; Fabales; Fabaceae
Description: long non-coding RNA (MTRU_LNC007844)
Rfam family: MIR2593 microRNA precursor family (bases 19972-20084)
Source: RNAcentral